GCAGGAGACCUUGCCUUUUCAAUCGUUGCUACUUUUGUGCUAGCGUUCUUAAGGCAAACUUGUUUAACUCAUGUCUUGAUGACCCACAAGUGUAGGGGAUCUAUCGUAGUCCUUUCGAUAAGUAAGAGUGUCGAACCCAACGAGGAGCAUAAGGAAAUGACAAGCGGUUUUCAGUAAGGUAUUCUCUGCAAGCACUGAAAUUAUCGGUAACAGAUAGUUUUGUGAUAAGGUAAUUUGUAACGGGUAACAAGUAACAAGUGUAAAUAAAGUACAGCAAGAUAGCCCAAUCCUUUUUGUAGCAAAGGACAAGCCUGGACAAACUCUUAUAUGAAGGAAAACGCUCCUGAGGACACAUGGGAAUUAUCGUCAAGCUAGUUUUCAUCACCCUCAUAUGAUUCGCGUUCGGUACUUUGAUAAUUUGAUAUGUGGGUAGACUGGUGCUUGGGUGCUGUCCUUCCUUGUACAAGCAUCCCACUUAUGAUUAACUCCUAUUGCAAGCAUCCGCAACUACAAGAUAAGUAUUAAGGUAAACCUAACCAUAGCAUGAAACAUAUGGAUCCAAAUCAGCCCCUUACGAAGCAACGCAUAAACUAGGGUUUAAGCUUCUGUCACUCUAGCGACCCAUCAUCUACUUAUUACUUCCCAAUGCCUUCCUCUAGGCCCAAACAAUGGUGAAGUGUCAUGUAGUCGCCGUUCACAUGACACCACUAGAGGAGAGACAACAUACAUCUCAUCAAAAUAUCGAACGAAUACCAAAUUCACAUGACUACUUAUAGCAAGACUUCUCCCAUGUCCUCAGGAACAAACGUAACUACUCACAAAGCAUAUUCAUGUUCAUAAUCAGAGGGGUAUUAAUAUGCAUAAUAGAUCUGAACAUAUGAUCUUCCACCAAGUAAACCAACUAGCAUCAACUACAAGGAGUAAUCAACACUACUAGCAACCUAUAGGUACCAAUCUGAGGUUUGGAUACAAAGAUUGGAUAUAAGAGAUGAACCAGGGUUUGAGAGGAGAUGGUGCUGGUGAAGAUGUUGAUGAAGAUUGGCCCCCUCCCGAUUAGAGGAUCGUGAUGACGAUGGUGAUGAUUUCCCCCUCCCGGAGGGAAGUUUCCCCGGCAGAACAGCUCUGCCGGAGCCCUAGAUUGGUUCCGCCAAGGUUCCGCCUUGUGGCGGCGGUGUUUCGUCCCUUAAGCUUGCUUAUGAUUUUUCCAGGGUAGAAGACACCAUAUAGCCAAAGAUGGGCACCGGAGGCCUACCAGGGGGCCCACGAGGCAGGGGGCGCGCCCAGGGGGGUAGGGCGCGCCCCCCACCCUCGUGGAUGGUGGGUGGCCCCCCUCUGGUAGUUUCUUCGCUUAGUAUUUUUUAUUAAUUCCAAAAUUGACUUCCGUGGAGUUUCAGGACUUUUGGAGUUGUGCAGAAUAGGUCUCUAAUAUUUGCUCCUUUUCCAGCCCGGAAUUCCAGCUGCCAGCAUUCUCCCUCUUCAUGUAAACCCUGUAAAAUAAGAGAGAAUAGGCAUAAGUAUUGUGACAUACUGUGUAAUAACAGCCCAUAAUGCAAUAAAUAUCGAUAUAAAAGCAUGAUGCAAAAUGGACGUAUCAUGUCUGUACUCAGAUAUUGUUGCUUCCACUAACUCGUUUGUAUUUGAGCCCUCGAGGCCCCUGGCUUGUAAUAUAAAGCUUCAAUUAUUUUAAUUUCUGUCUAGAUUUGUGUUGUGAUAUCUUCCCGUGACUUCCUGAUCUUGAUCGUACAAAUUUGCGUGUAUGAUUAGUGUACGGUCAAUCCGGGGGCGUCACAAUGCACGUGUUGGGAAACGUAGCAUGCAAUUUCAAAAAAAUUCCUAUGCUCACUCAAGAUCUAUCUAGGAGAUGCAUAGAAACGAGAGGGGGAGAGUAUGUCCACAUACCCUCGUAGACCGAAAGCGGAAGCGUUUGACAACGCGGUUGAUGUAGUCGAACUUCUUCUCGUUCUGACCGAUCAAGCACCGAACGUACGACACCUCCGAGUUAUGCACAAGUUCAGCUCGAUGACGUCCCUCGAACUCUUGAUCUAGCAAAGUGUCGAGGGAGAGUUCUGUCAGCACGACGGCAUGGUGACGGUGAUGGUGAAGUGAUCCGCGCAGGGCUUCGCCUAAGCAUACGAAGAAAUGACUGGAGGCGUAAACUAUGGAGGGGGGCGCCGCACAUGGCUAACAAUUGUUGGUUUGUGUUCUAGCGGUGCCCCCCUCAUAUAUAUAGGGUGGAGGGGAGGAGAGGAAGCCAAGGGGGCGCCCCAAGUAGGAGGAAUCCUACUUAGGCGCCUCCCAAUUCGGCCUCCCCCCUUACCAUAUCCAUCGGAGGGGGAAGGAAAGAGGAGGGAGGAGGGAAGGAAACGGGAGGCCGAAUCCCUCCCCUUCCUUCUCUCUUCUCCCCUUUCCUUUUCCUCAGGUGUGGCCCAUAUGGGGGGCGCAGCAGCCCUUGCUGGCUGUUGCGUUUCCCCUCUUGGCCCAUUAGGCCCAUAUAGUUUGCGGGGGAAUGCCCAGAACCCCUUCCGGUGACCCGAUACGUACCCGGUACCCCCACCCCGUAACACUUCUGGUGUCCGAAUACUAUCGUCCUAUAUAUGAAUCUUUACCUCUCGGCCAUUUCGAGACUCCUCGUCAUGUCCGUGUCUCAUCCGGAACUCUGAACAACAUUCGGUCACCAAAUCACAUAACUCAUAUAAUACAAAAUCGUCGUCGAACGUUAAGCGUGCGGACCCUACGGGUUCGAGAACUAUGUAGAUAUGACCAAGACACCUCUCCGGCCAAUAACCAACAGCGGAACCUAGAUGCUCAUAUUGGUUCCUACAUAUUCUACGAAGAUCUUUAUCGGUCGUAUCGUAAUGACAACAUACGUUAUUCCCUUUGUCAUCGGUUGAUGACCCACAAGUGUAGGGGAUCUAUCGUAGUCCUUUCGAUAAGUAAGAGUGUCGAACCCAAUGAGGAUCAGAAGGAAAUGAUAAGCAGUUUUCAGUAAGGUAUUCUCUGCAAGCACUAAAAUUAUCGGUAACAGAUAGUUUUGUGAUAAGGUAAUUUGCAAUGGGUAAAAAGUAAUGAAAGUAAAUAAGGUGCAGCAAGAUGGCCCAAUCCUUUUUGUAGCAAAGGACAAGCCUGGACAAACUCUUAUAUAGAGAAAAGCGCUCCCGAGGACACAUGGGAAUUAUCGUCAAGCUAGCUUUCAUCAUGCUCAUAUGAUUCGCGUUCGGCACUUUGAUAAUUUGAUAUGUGGGUAGACUGGUGCUAGGGUGCUGUCCUUCCUUGGACAAGCAUCCCACUUAUGAUUAACUCCUAUUGCAAGCAUCGGCAACUAUAAGAGAAGUAUUAAGGUAAACCUAACCAUAGCAUGAAACAUAUGGAUCCAAAUCAGCCCCUUACGAAGCAACGCAUAAACUAGGGUUUAAGCUUCUGUCACUCUAGCAACCCAUCAUCUACUUAUUACUUCCCAAUGCCUUCCUCUAGGCCCAAACAAUGGUGAAGUGUCAUGUAGUUGACGUUCACAUAACACCACUAGAGGAAAGACAACAUACAUCUCAUCAAAAUAUCGAGCGAAUACCAAAUUCACAUGACUACUUAUAGCAAGACUUCUCCCAUGUCCUCAGGAACAAACGUAAUUACUCACAAAGCAUAUUCAUGUUCAUAAUCAGAGGGGUAUUAAUAUGCAUAAAGGAUCUGAACAUAUGAUCUUCCACCAAAUAAACCAACUAGCAUCAACUACAAGGGGUAAUCAACACUACUAGCAACCCACAGGUACCAAUCUGAGGCUUUGGGACAAAGAUUGGAUACAAAAGAUGAACUAGGGUUUUAGAGGAGAUGGUGCUGGUGAAGAUGUUGAUGGAUAUUGACCCCCUCACUACAACAAGAACCCCCCUAUAGCAACGCAUUGAUGCGUUGUUGUAUGCCCAUAUAGGUGUUGCUAAGGCCUACACCAAAGGAUUAAUAUGCGUUGCCGUUGGUGGCGUUGGAAGGGCCUACAACAACGUAUAUAAAUGCGUUGGUAAACGGCAUGAAAAAAUGUUGCAAUCUAGCAACAUAUAUAAUUAGAUUCUAACAACACUUCAUAUGUGUUGCUCGCUACACUGCAGAACAUGAUUUUCAAUUGGACACAACAGAUCGUUGCAACGUAUAGAAGCGUUGCUACCAUCAUGAACUACAAUUUCAUAUAUUGGUAUCCAGAAUGAUGUGGUCGGUGCUGACAAAGCAUGGAGCCACAAUAUAUUGAACAUAAACGUCUCAUAUAUUAAUUUGACUUUGUUGCAUUACAAAGAACAUGAUCCAAAGGUUACAAUAAGUGAUACUAACAUAGUAGCUAAGUCUGGACGUUUCAAUCAACGCCCCAACCAUUCUAAAACAUAAUGUUUGAGUUAUCGACACUGGAAAUGACAUCGUAAAACACUACAUAAGACUAUCCAACAGCAGCCCCAUUCUCCAUCUUGCAAUCAACAUCUGGGCCAUGCAUCAUCAAUUUAUCUUAGCAAUCUACAACAAUAAAGAAAUGAGAUCAGUAAGUUAUUGUAGAGAAAAUAAGGUGAAGAGCGACAAAAUUAAAGAGGAGCAACAUACAAAGGUUGAUGGCCAUGCGAUAAUUAAUCCUGCUGCAUGACCAAUAAUGUUGACCUUUUUUAGAGGUCGUAUCAACUGAUCUGAUUUUGCUAAUGUAGCAUCAAUUCGCACUGCCCAGAAUUGAUUACCAAGAUGAACACCCUCAACUUUAUAUUCUGGGUUAGUGCUUUGGAGUGUACCAAGAGCAACAUUCUUGUUUGGAUUUCCCAAGCUCUUGAAAAAUACUAUAGUGCCAACCUGUUCGUAAAAGAGAAAACCAUUUGUAGUAUAAGCAAUUUGAAACAUGCAGAUAAUCAUGUGUAACAUAAACUUAAUACCCAUACAUCUAUCGAGUCGGCACCCAGGCAAUUUGUUGCACCGCACUGUUGUUUCUGUAGAAUAUAUUUUGUGCAACAUUAGUAUGCAAUAUACUUGAAGCAGAACUGAAACAGAGAAGAAGAAUAUUUAGAAGAUGUAUGUCAUACAUUGGCAUGCUUUGUUGCAUUACCUCCUCUUGAGACUUUACUAAUGUUCUGGCCACCAUGCUAAUGGCAAGAUGCAAAAUAAACAGAAUAAGCAAAAAAACUGAAUAGAGAUGUACACAUGAGGAAUCAGAAUGGUACCGUAUACACAGAGUAUGCUCUAACCCAUUGAGGUGUGUUGUUAAGUUGGAGUUCAAUUUAAUAGUGCAAGCAUAACUGUUUAGUAAAUGAUGGCAUGUCUUGUCGUGCACUAGGUUGUUGUGCAAGAAGGCUACAUGUAUAUAAUAAUUGUUAAGUUCCUUUUUGUAGCUACUAUCUCUUACAAUGCCACUUAUCCUCUCUGUUAUGUUAAGAACUACUGCUGCUAGCAAUGUAUUUCUUAGCAAAUCUACACAACAGUUUAGUGAUUGUUUUUUCAUGUAUGAGUAUGCAAACGAAAGGCUGAAAUAGCAAUGUGAAGAGAUUUUUCAUCUUGGUGAAAGUAAUUGCACUUUAUCUCUUAGAUUGUUAUCUUAGAUAUUUCUACUCAAUAUUGAAACUGUUAUUUAUGUCACACAUCAUUUCUAGCAUGCGUAUGCGCUGGAAAUGUGCAAAAAAAAAUCUUGACGCAUGAGAGCAGAGAUGCAUUGUGAAAGAAGCUUUAGAAGUUUAAAAGAUAUGGAGUGCACUAACCUUAUUUGCACUAGAGUUUUCCUUCUCUUGUUGCACAUUUUCAUCAUGGAUAGAAGUAUCUUUGUUCUGUGACAGGAGAUAUAUCAGAAGAUUUGGAAGAAUUGUAAUAAACAUUCCUACCGUGAGAAGACCAAGUAACAAUUGAUUGUUGCUCAACCAUAUUGGACUCCAAACAAUACAUAAAUGAGCAUACCUUAUCCUUAGAAGGACGUUUGUUUGAUGGUUGCAUCUCCAUGUCAUAGAGAAAGUUUUCCUUGCUCUGUAAUGAAUGUCAAGAGUAUUAAUUUCUAUAAAAAAACAGAAUAUAUUAAUGCAUCCAUACACUACCAUCACAUUAUUAUUCUGCCCAACGUUACCAAGUUGUUGACUAUGGCUGUCGCUAUAUACUCUCUGUCUGUUGAAACAAAAUAAGAAAAUGAUCAUAUUUAUUUAAAUGACUUCAACUUUUAUUAUUAGAAUAUUCUAGAGAUAAUUACUUUUUGUUUUGAAUUUGUCUUGCCAACACAGAGAGCAUCUUGAGAUGUAGACUUGUGACCCAAAGAACCCUGUAAAGAGAACCUAACAAUUAAUACAUGUAUUGAAUAAUGAAGAGCAUUCUAAAAUUUUGCUCGUUUUGAAACGGAUUCAGAGCUGAGAAUAAAUAAGCGUACACAAGAUAACCACAUAAUGAAAAGAAGCAACAAGACCUACGCAAGGAGUAUCUGGUGCUUUAGAUCUGAUCUCAUUGGUGUAUCAUCAUAAAAGUUUUAAUGGUAAUCUUCUCAAGAUUCUCGACAUUGGUAAUAAGUUAAGAAAAGGAAGGAGAUACUAACCUUAUCUGCACUAGUGUUUUUCCUCUGUUGGUGCACAUUUUCAUCAUGGACCAAAGUUUCAUUGUUCUGUGACAAAAGAUAUACUAUAAGAUUGGCAAGAACAAUAAUAAACAUUCCUGCUGCAAAAUGUGUGAGUAAUUCUAAAUUGCUACUCAACCAUGUCUGAUUCUAAACAAUAUAUCAAUGAGAAUACCUCAUCCAUAGCAGGGCAUUUGUAUGAUGGUUGCACCUCCAUGUCAUUGAGAAAUGUUUCCUUGCUCUGUAAUGAAUGGCGAAAGAUGAUUAAUUUCUAUGAAAGCAAACAGAAAUGUAUUAAUGCAUCCAUACAUUACCAUCACAUUAUUCUGCUGCCCAACAGUAUGAAGUUGUUGACUAUGACCGUCACCAUAAAUUCUCUGUCGAUUGAAACCAAACAAGGUUAAGAACAUACUUGCAAAAUGGCUUCAAAAUAUUUAUUAUACCAUUCUAGAGACACAUACUUUUCUUUUUGAAUUUGUCUUGGCAAUAGAAGGAACAUCUUGAGAUGCAGAUAUCUGAUCCAAAGAACCCUGUAACUACUACCUAAGAAUUAGUACAUGUAUUGAAUAAUGGAGAAAUUCUUCAAAUUUACCUGUCCUUCAGUGUUUUUUUUUCUUCCCUUAAUUUUUUCUCCAACUUCUCCAUUUUCAGUCUAACAACCAAAAGAUCUUCAUUUGAUGUAUCCUCCAAUGAACUAAGGUGUAUAUUCUGAAAGUGGCGUGAAGCUGACACAUCAAAGACUUGAUUUGGAUUCGGAACCCGUCCCAGGCCAUGUAUAUGUCCAGGCUUGUCUGCGCCAAGUACCGCAUUCAAAACAUCUCCCUUCCAUGUUGUCUUUCCUCUACUAGUAUCUACUAAAGCUGGAUUCUCCGCUAUACGCUUCUUCAAAUCAACCUAUAUACAUGAAUAGUGUAUGUCAGAACAAUGUGCUAAACAACAUUAUAAUUUUAAAUAAAAGAGUCGAUACUAUACCACUUGUUCAUUCAUAUUCUUGUCGCUUUUGUGCUUAUGUGUAUGCAUGUAUAAGACAGCCCUGUGUGGGUACUUCUUUUCUGGAUCCUUUAGUCUCUAUUGGUCAAACGGUUAAUUUAUUAAAGACCUGCAGUACAAAUGGGAUAUAGAUGCAUAAAGUUCGAGUUCUCAUAAACUGACCAUCUCUUCUCGAACUCGUGGAAAACUCUUAGUUCCAGCCGUGUGUUUGGACUUCCUCAUCGCACAAUUUCUCCUAUUCGUCUCACUUAUCCCCUGUCAAACAAUUGUAUAAUGUAUGCACAUGUAUUUUCCAUAAUUUCAUACCAUGACUGAGCAACAUGUACAUAACGAAUCUGGCGACUGUAUACGUACCUGUGCCUUCGGGGUCAUCCAAUUACUGACCAGAGUAAUCCACUGGUCCUUAAUCACACCCUUUGGAACAUUGGUGUUAUUCGCUUCCAUGCUCUUAUUUGCAUCAAAAUAUAGUGCUUUCAGAUCUGACUUAUGUUCCCUCCAUCUAUCUCCAACUUUUUUUAAUAUAAUCUUUUCCAUGCGAGGGGUAAAGAAACCUCAUCUACAUUUCAAAUAAAACUAUGGUUAUGACAAUGCUAGUAUGUAAAGCAUAAUGAUGUUAGCAAAAGAGAUUUAAUGUACUCCAAAUAUACCUUUACUUGCGCUAGUAUAUCCCUUUUGUUUCUUUGUUCAUUUGUCUUUUUUCUCUCUCUCCUAUUAUUUUUCUCCAGUCCUUGUAGCUCAAACUACACAAUUUUCCAUUCCUAGCAACCGUGCCAAGAAAAUUCCCAAGACGUGCAACUUCUUUUCCAACUGGCUGGUUUAGUUCAUUGCACUGGACCACAAUCCUCUGCCCUUUUGGAAGAUUCCAUGUUUCUUUUAGCCUUGUCCUCCCACGCUUGGUUGUUUCUCCAUUUUCAUUUGAUCAUGGAUAAAUGUCCAAAACAUUUAUAAUUAAUCACACAUAAACAAUUGUGUGAACUAUCUUUAGAUCAACAGUCUGAGGAACAACUGAUAGUGUUAUUCACCAUUUUAUAGAGCAUUACAUUGAUAACACGAUGGAAAAUCACCACUAAUGCAAAAUAAGUGAAUCUUACAGCAGUGCAAAAACAGGAUGCAGUGUACUAUUGCAUGCUGAAGCCUUUUGCCCAAUAGUUAGUGUAGCUAGCCAAGUAAAAACUUGAAAGUGCAAUGCAUUCCAUAUGCUACAUGGUUUAGUUUUAGUUGUUCUGAUGACCAUGGUCCUUACAGCCACACUAUACACCAUCACAUCUAAAAAGUUACCAUUCAGUUCUGUUCUGGAUAAGAUGGUACUGCAAUUGUUGAUUCUAAUUCUAAUUUUUCAGAAUGUCUAGCAGAGUGUCAAAAGGUAAUUACCUUGUUCAUUAGUAGCAGUGUCGUCCUGGUCCUCUUCAUCAUCGCUAUCAUCCAAGCCUUCUUCAACAUUACAAGAUGAUGGUUGAACAUGAGAUGACUCAACAUCUUUGAACAUGGCAUUCUCAUGUUCAACAUGUUCCUCAGUCAUGUAUUCAUCAUUGCAUUCAACCACAUUCUCAUGUUCAACAUGUUCCUCAGUCAUGUAUUCAUCAUUGCAUUCAACCACAUGUAGUUUACUUUGUGUCAUAUCAACUCCAGGAGGAAAACCAACACAAAAACUGAAAAAAAGAAGUAAAUUAAAUCAAUGCAGAAUGUACUGAGAAGCCUAGAGAGGUAUAAAUUUUCCCAUAGACAUUGUCUAAAUUAUGCAUAGCCAUGCCUUGUUUUCAGUUCUUACAAAAGAUUUAAGAAAAAAACAGUCACGUGCUCAUCACCUAGUUAAUUUACUGGUAUAUGGUCCUCUGAAUCACACCCGCAGCUAAGUGGUGAUAGGCUGAUCUUACUGUCAACUCCCCCUUCUGGUCUCCAUUCAUCACCAGCCUGUCUCCUAUAGCCAUAGCCACCCUCCCCUUCUCUGCUAUUUGUUCUGCCACAGCUAAUUGGUGGUAAGCUGAUCUUACUGCGAACCCCUUCUACUCAAAAUUAAGUCAGGCGAACUGACGCAGCUGACACACGGUCAAACUCAUCACUCAUAUGGUGGAACAGGGGAUCAAUCGAUCGAUCUAGUCACUGGCACUGAAUCGAUUUAUCUAUAAUUUAUUUGAGCCUUGGGUGCAAAGGCAGAUUCGCCACCACUCUCCACGGGUGAGGGACGAGUGCUCGUCGAGGGCAGCUGUGGCCGGCGGCGAACACAGUGGACGAAUCUAUUAGAGGAGAAGGAGGUUGAAUGCAAGAGAGAGCCCGGGGGGAGGGGGGAGGCACUGACCUACAAUCAGAGAGAUGGACAGAAUCGCCUGCCGCCGCUGGUCGUCAGAGAUGGCCCAGAAUCGCCUGCCGCCGCCAGCCGGGAGAGAUGACCCACGACUUGUGUUCAGCACGACUUGUGCUGUUGAGAUAGAUGGGGGGAGGUGCGCAAGAUUUUUGGGCAGUUACCUUAAUUCGGAGGGAAAUAGAAAAAUGGAAGGAAGAGACCGAGGGAAAGAGGAAAAAUAGAAGGAAAAAUGGAGGGAGUUGUCGUUGAUGGCGAUGCUCAUGAGCGUUCAUUCACUUUCGACCUCCACCGUCAUUUCGUCCGACAUUACUCUCAAUCUCUUUUUUAGUAUGAUGAUAUAAGACAGUUGAAAUAAAGUUUGCAUAUUAUUUUCCGUACAUUAGCUGAACUCGGGAUUGGAUUUGAAAAAUGACCCAAGUAUGAGCCGUUUAAGUUCAGUCUGAUAAUUCAUAGAAAGGCAUCGGCAAUCUAACUUUAGCCGCCACCCCAUGAUCCGAUCCCUCUUGUUGUCGCUACGGUAAGCCAACGGGCAAAGCCUGCACUGCAUGGCGGCGGCACGGAGGCUGCUGCUCAUUGAGAGCCCAAUAUGGAGGAGUGGUGGGCUGUUGCCGGACAGCGACAGUGAUGCGUGGUUGGGUUGCGGUUGCCGCCCGGUGACACUCAAGGUGGUGUUGAUAGUCCAGCACAACGAUCUUCAAUGGUGACACAUUCUGGCAAGGUCAUCAGAGAGAGAGGGAGUCGGUGGAUGAUCAUGGACUGCGGCGAGGUCGACAUGAGACCGAACAUAUGCAUGCAAUGGCAUGAUUGUUUUCGUUCAGGUUUUCUUUAGGGAAUCUUCUAAUUUUGGUUUGGGACAGCGAGGUGGUGACGCAAUCCCUGUUUAGGAAUAAUGUUCUCCCGGCUUUUUUCCUUGUUUCGUUGGUGUGUUUAGCGCCAACGGAGGGCAUGUGGGGCCAUGUCUCCGAUGGGUCCUCCAGGAUGCGGUCGGCCAACAUUCAUGGUGUUUGAAGUUUCUCCAGGUUCUUAUCGGCAUUUUCUUCUUUGAGGCGGCGAUUUGAUUUGCCUCCCACAAUUGUCUCCUCACCGCCAGUGGAUGCAGGAGAAAGAAGACUUCAGUAGGCUCAAAGAUUUAAAGGUAAUUUUAUCUUUCUAUAUAGGUGUUCUCAGUAGGACGUGUAAUAUGUAAUAUAUGGCCUUGGGCCCUUUCGCAAAAAAAGUUCGUCUGCCGCCUGCUGCCGCUGGUCGUCAGAGAUGGCCCAGAAUCGCCUGCCGCCGCCAGCCGGGAGAGAUGACCCACGACUUGUGUUCAGCACGACUUGUGCUGUUGAGAUAGAUGGGGGGAGGUGCGCAAGAUUUUUGGGCAGUUACCUUAAUUCGGAGGGAAAUAGAAAAAUGGAGGGAAGAGACCGAGGGAAAGAGGAAAAAUAGAAGGAAAAAUGGAGGGAGUUGUCAUUGAUGGCGAUGCUCAUGAGCGUUCAUUCACUUUCGACCUCCACCGUCAUUUCGUCCGACAUUACUCUCAAUCUCUUUUUUAGUAUGAUGAUAUAAGACAGUUGAAAUAAAGUUUGCAUAUUAUUUUCCGUACAUUAGCUGAACUCGGGAUUGGAUUUGAAAAAUGACCCAAGUAUGAGCCGUUUAAGUUCAGUCUGAUAAUUCAUAGAAAGGCAUCGGCAAUCUAACUUUAGCCGCCACCCCAUGAUCCGAUCCCUCUUGUUGUCGCUACGGUAAGCCAACGGGCAAAGCCUGCACUGCAUGGCGGCGGCACGGAGGCUGCUGCUCAUUGAGAGCCCAAUAUGGAGGAGUGGUGGGCUGUUGCCGGACGGCGACAGUGAUGCGUGGUUGGGUUGCGGUUGCCGCCCGGUGACACUCAAGGUGGUGUUGAUAGUCCAGCACAACGAUCUUCAAUGGUGACACAUUCUGGCAAGGUCAUCAGAGAGAGAGGGAUUCGGUGGAUGAUCAUGGACUGCGGCGAGGUCGACAUGAGACCCGAACGUAUGCAUGCAAUGGCAUGAUUGUUUUCGUUCAGGUUUUCUUUAGGGAAUCUUCUAAUUUUGGUUUGGGACAGCAAGGUGGUGACGCAAUCCCUGUUUAGGAAUAAUGUUCUCCCGGCUUUUUUCCUUGUUUCGUUGGUGUGUUUAUCGCCAAUGGAGGGCAUGUGGGGCCAUGUCUCCGAUGGGUCCUCCAGAUGCGGUCGGCCAACAUUCAUGGUGUUUGAAGUUUCUCCAGGUUCUUAUCAGCAUUUUCUUCUUUGAGGCGGUGAUUUGAUUUGCCUCCCACAAUUGUCUCCUCACCGCCAGUGGAUGCAGGAGAAAGAAGACUUCAGUAGGCUCAAAGAUUUAAAGGUAAUUUUAUCUUUCUAUAUAGGUGUUCUCAGUAGGACGUGUAAUAUGUAAUAUAUGGCCUUGGGCCCUUUCGCAAAAAAAAGUUCGUCCUUGAUAUCAGUUGAACUUAAGGACUAGCACAAAGUGAUGUAUUCUCCCCCCCCCCCUCACCCGGACUCAUCUCGACCCGUCGAGGCGACACAGGGUAUUAUGGCGUGGGGUGGAAGUCAUUGUCUUAACGCUCCGGUCUAGAUCUCGGUGUCGCCUUCCUCGAUCCACUCUAAUGUGUUGCGGCUCGUGGGCCUUCAAAUAGCAGGUGGUCAGUGACCGAGGUUAAAGCCAUGCUGGAUGGCGUUGUCGUUGAUGGCGAUGCUCAUGAGCGUUCAUUCACUUUCUUGGAGGCGACACCGUGGACUACGCCCUCUACCUUUGGCUCUAUGUGAAAACACUUUAUUCGACCUUUUGGAUCGGGCGGUGUUGGCAUUUUUGCAGCGUCCUUCUCAGCGGGUCAUCGUGGUGCGGUCCUUGGAUGGUGGCGGUGGGAUUCUUGCCGUGUGCCAAAUACGAGUUGGAUUUGCAAAUCCGUUAAAGAAAAGUGAGCAAAGUUUGAUAAAAGCUAGCUCGUUCGAUCAAGUAAGAACAGUGAGCGGAGUUUGAUUUUCACUUGUCAUUUUUUAAAACAAAAAUAUAAGAAGAUUAAAGAAAAAAUACGUAUGAGUUGCUCAAGUUUGACUGGAGUAUUAACUUGUGAUCGGAUCACAAAAUAAUUCUAGUACAUGUGUGUUUUGUAACUCGGUCAAGACAUGAAGAAAGCUUAGUCAAGGCAAGCUCAUUGGAUUUCAGCUCACCAUACCUCGAAUUAAAUGAUUUGUACAUAGUUUUAUAUAUAAUUUAAAUUCCAAUUUUUUUGCUGUUCUGUUCACCCAUGUGACGAACUAGGCAUCCCAAAAAUAUAUGAGAUGUUAGAUACAAAACAAAAAGAGAAAACAAACUAUGUUGAUUUUAAAUCAAGAUAAAUAAAAACAACACAUAUUCUAGAUAAAUCAUUGAGAAAGCAAACUGUAUUCAAAUUCAUGAGAAAUCAAACACCCAGUACAUUCAACAUUGAAUGCACAAAUGCCACAUCUGACAACUUACCACUGAAUCCUAACUGUAGCUACAGCAAGAAGAAAUUUACAUGGGGCAGUUACGCUUCACAGGUAGUAGAAAUGGUGGUAAAUACAAAGAAGGAUGCAUUCCCUCAUGUGGACUUGGAGAAGUAGGUGUGCUAACAAAACUGAGGUAUUUCCUUGGCCACUUGUAUCUGAUAGAUUGAAGUUCAGGAACAUGCUUCGACGACGACGUUUGAAUCGCAUUUCCUUUGAAUGAUUGUUCAGCAACAUUGGCAUUAUUCUCAAAUUAACUUCACCCCGAGCAUCAGCUGCAGAAAUAGUAUGUUUCAUUAACAAAAUUGUAGAUCUCACAGUAUUGUAAAGAUAAGCUACAUUUUUCAAACCUAUCAGGGAAAAACAAGACAUUAGAAGCAAACCUUUCAUUUAGUUCCAAAGCUUCAGGAUCAGAACUUGUAAUAGGAUCUACAGUUGUGCCUUCUAUAUCUCUUCUAGUCCACAUUUCAUUCCCAUGCGCAGUAUCAAAAAGCUCACCCAGAUUACUGACAUGAUAAGGUUCACUUUCUAUAUCAUUCCGUUCUUCACCCAUGUCAAAAUUGUCUCGAGGAGUCACCUUCGUCACAAAUGACCAUCCAGGAUUUGUACGGUCUUUCGUAUAGAAAACUUGGUCAACUUGAUUGGCAAAUACAAAAGGCUCAUCCUCUAUCUUCUCACCACCAUGGACUUGCUGUGAAAAAAUUCACAAGCGUACGACCAAACAUAUCUUUUCUUACUUCUUUUUCUUUAGUACUAUUAACCCAUUCACAUUUGAAUAGCACCACCGAAAAUUUUCUAUAAUAAUCCAACUCAAUUAUGUCAACUAUCUUCCCAUAGUACAUGGCAUCUCCAAGUAUAGGGUUAGUAUCACCUCAGAAGCAUAACUUGAUGUUUUUGCGGUCAAAACAACUCCACUGUUUUGCGUCUUCUUAUCAUAACGCUUGGGUCUAAAUCUAUAUCCAUGGGUACAGAAGCCUAUGUAUCUUCGUGCAACCUCAAUUGGACCACGAGCCAACCAUCUAAUAUCAUCAUCGAUGCUGUCAGUACCCCUUUGCUGCUCCAGCUGCAUUACCUACACCAACACGGAACUUAGAUAACAAAAACUCAAAAACAGAAUACUAAUAACAGGGAACUUACAUGAUCUCUAAACCAAUCAGGGAAGUUGGCAUGCUGCAUGCGCUCAAUGGUUUUUAGUGCUAGGCGCUUGUUGCGGGUUUUCCUUUUUAGUUCAGCACCAUGUGCUCUACAACACAUAUAAACACAAUUUUAGAUCAUAAAAUUAGUCAACAUGCUAACAAGUUAAGGUAAGACAUUUACAUGAGAUAUGGAGUGACAACAUCACAGUUGUAGAGCACAAAUCUAUGGGCUUGUAAGGACUCCAUAUCAUUCAAAGUGUAGGUGCGUGGUUUUCCCAAUGGAUUCCCUACUGGAGGAAAUAAUGUGGAUUCAUUUGCAUACAUUGCAGAUUCAUUCUCAUUUGGUUUGUCAUGAUUCCUUGAUGGUUGGUUGUGCUUAGUAGAGAAACCCUCUAAGUAUCUUGAGCAAAAGGCCAUGCACUCAUCCGCCAAAAAUGAUUCAGCAAUUGAACCCUCAGGGCGAGCUUUGUUGCGAACAUAUGACUUCAAUUUACCUAGGUACCUGCACACAUGUCAAAACAUCAAUUUAGCAAGUCAUAUGACAUCACUUGCCAAUAUUGCACUUUUCUUAGCAUCACAUUGUUACCUUUCAAUAAAGUACAUCCAUCGAUAGCAAACUGGUCCAGCAAGUUUACAUUCAGUUGCUAAAUGGACAACUAAAUGAACCAUGACAGUGAAAAAUCCAGGAGGGAAUAUCAUCUCCAUUUUACAAAGUGUGAUUCUAAUUGAUUCUUCCAAAUGGUCAAGCUCAUUUACAUGGAGAACUUUUGAACAUAUUCCUCGGAAGUAAGCAGAUAAUUCAAGUAGUACUGUUGUGACACGGUCUGGAAGAAUACCCGUCAAAGCGAUAGGCAUGAAUUGUUGUAGUAGGACAUGGCAGUCAUGUGUUUUUAGCCCGGAAAUUUUUCCUUCAGCGGACUUCACACAUUUAGAUAUAUUUCCACAAUAGCCAUCGGGAACCAUUAUAGACUCAAGAACUUCAAGGAACAAUUUUAUCUCACUUCUGGACAUGGUAAAUAAUGCAGGUGGUAAGUAAAACUUGCCUGAAGGUUGUUGCUCUGGAUGUAGGUCCUCUCUAAUAUUCAUCUCUUUAAGAUCUAGACGAGCAGAAAGAUUAUCUUUUGACUUCCCAUCUAAACCUAAAAGUGUGCCCAAAAUAUUAUCACACACAUUCUUCUCUAUAUGCAUCACGUCAAGAUUAUGUCGAACGAGAUUAUAGUCCCAAUAGGGUAAUGUAAAUAGACUACUUAAUCCCUUGUAAGUUUUUGAUUGCUUAAAAUCACCAAGAGCCUUUAUUUCUUCUUCAACCUGACGUCCAUAGUAAGUUCGAGGCUCUGCUCUAUGCUCCACCGUUCCAUCAAAAGACUUUUGAUCAAAAUGAAACUUAUGAGCAGGAGGCAGAAAUCGGCGGUGACCCAUAAAGCAUGAUUUCUUUCCAUGUUUUAAUCGCUUGGACCAUGCAUCUGCACCGCAUGGUGGACAUGCAAAUUCUCCAUGCACCUUAUGUGAAGAAACCAUUCCUAAAGCUGGCAGAUCAUUUAUAGUCCACAACACGACUGCUCGCAAAGUAAAGGUUUCAUUUUUAGACACAUCAUAUGUGACAAUUCCAUUCAGAAAUAAGUCUUUCAAGUCAUCCAAAAGUGGCUGGAGAAAGACAUGAAUAUUAUCGCCUGGAUUUUUGGGCCCAGGAAUUAUCAAAGAUAGCAAAAGGUAAGAUUCUUUCAUGCACAACCAUGGAGGCAGAUUAUAUAUUGUCAAAACAACUGGCCAACAACUAUAACUAGAACUCAUCAUCCCAUAGGGAUUAAAUCCAUCAUGACCCAAGCCAAACCGUAUAUUACGGCAAUCAGAUGCAAUUUUUGAGUACCUUUCAUCUAAAGCCUUCCAUGCUAGGGAAUCAGCUGGAUGUCGUAGUGCGCCAUCCUUAAUGUGCUCUUCAUCAUGCCAUCGCAAAAGAGGUGCUGUCUCUUUGCACAUGAACAAUAUUUUCAACCUAUCCUUGAUUGGAAAGUAACGUAAAACUUUGCUUGGUGUUGCUUUUUUUCUUUCCUUCUUUGUUAACUUUGUUUCCGGUUCUUUAUCUUUCCACCUAGAGGCCUUACAGAUUGAGCAAAAAUCAUCAUUUUCCGUGUCUUUCCAGAACAGCUGGCAAUUAUUUGGACAAGCAUGAAUUUUUUUAUAAUCUAGGCCAAAUUUUGAAACAAUCUUCUUAGCCUCGUAAAAAUUCUGGGGCAGCUCAUUUCCGUUUGGAAUUGCCAUGCGCAGAGUAUCAAGUAGAUCUCCAAAUGACUUGUCAGACCAUUUGUUCAUGGAUUUUGUAUUAAACAAAAUCACAAGUAAUGAUAGCUGUGAUAAUCCACAUUCCGGCCAUAAAGGCUUCUUCGAAUCAUUGAUCAAUUUAUAAAAUUCCUCGGCUUCUAAAUUUGGUCCAUGUUGAUUCGGUGGAUGUAGACUCUCACUCAUUGGCACAUCAUCAUACACAUUCCUGAAGGCAUCAUUAAUCAACCCAUGCAUGUCAGCAAGCAUUUCUUCAUUGGGAGGCUGUGGUUGCUGAUCAUUAUUGUGCUCAUCUGAAGAUUCGCCAUGAAAAACCCAUUUGUCAUAACUCUGAAGAAUUCCGUUACAGAUCAAAUGAUCACGGACAUCAUUCUUUGAUAGAACAGAAGUGUGCACGCAUACUUCACAUGGACAAAGGAUCGUGGUAUCUUCUGUCUUAUCUUUAUAUGCAAAUUCCAAAAAUCCAUCUACGCCAGCCACGUACCACGUACCGGCUACUUCCUCUAGGAUAACGCAAAAGUACCUUGCUGAUUUGUACAUCCAUACCCACUCUGCAAUAAAGAGUUCAAUUGUCAUUUCAAGGUUGAAUCCUACUUAAUCCAAUUUUCCAGUUACUGAUCAAGACAAGUUAUGUCUAACAAGCAUAAGCAGACAAUAAAAAAUAUCGAACUUAGACUUUGUCUAGCAAACUGCAUCAUCAAUGACAUAAAUAUUUUCCAAAGAUUAAGUAGACAAGAUCAUACAAGAGAUGAAAAGGGAGAGAAGCUUACCUAUGCGGGGGCAUGUCUUUGGUGCUGGUGUAGGCGGCGAUUGUUAGACAGCUGGUCAGCGGUAUAGAUGUGGCAGAAAUUCUGAAAAGAGAAGAAAAAAAUAGCAUCAUGUUUCUCAGAGUCGUUACAGCAUGAUCGUACUACCCUAACAAUCAAAUUUUCUCUCAACCAACAAGGACAUGUAUAUCAUCGAUAUAUUUCCCAACGGGCUUGAUCAGUUUGCUAAUAGAAGAAUACAUUCUAUACUAAUAGUCCCUACAUGAUGAACAACAGUACACUACAAUAAUCUUUUUGAAACUACAAGCUAAUGAAACUGAACAUGCAGGCUCUAAAAAUAUGUAUAGUAGAGAGUCUCCUACAUGUAGCUGAUAAACUUGAAGGUUUCAUCCACUUUGAACAACAUUGCGAUGUUAAUAUGGAAUACCUACACUGAGGGCUGAUCUCAGAUAUAUUAUACACCCCUACCAUCUCAACUCAAUAUUUUUUUCAAGAACACUCAACUCAAUAUAUCAGCUAUAUAUAUUGUAUACAUACGCAUAACAUACUGAUGCAUCUGAUGAAGAAGCAUCAUCGACUAAUGCCAUAUACCAGUGAAACAAUACCAUAGGCAAGAAGAAUACACCUAUCUUUUUCUUCUUCUUUUGGUUCUGUCCCCUGUACAUUAAAUACGUUGUGUAGUCAUUGCUAUUCAGACAUUUAGACCAUUUCUAUAAUUGUAAGGGUAUAACCAUACACAUUUUCCUUGGCUUGCGGAACCAUAUAAUGGUUUCCCAUUUUAUCGAAAUAACAGUUAAGUAGCAAAGUUACUUGAAAUUUGAUGGUUUACAUCAUACAAGAAAACAUGUGUAUACUCUGUUAUAUACUGAAAUCUGACUGUAGCAGAACAGUAAGUUUUAUAUCACAGUUUCAGCUUCUUAUAACAUUGAUCAUCGUUAUAUAGUAAGAAAAAUACGAAAUUACAUAUAAGCUAUUUUUCUUGAAUAGCAGAUGCACAUGAUUAUGCUAGAUAGAUAUACUUAAUUGACUUCAGUUGCAUCGAGUUCAGUUCAGGUGUUAGUUUUCUAUUGGGUACAAGAAUCGAUCUAUACUGCUCUCCACGUUUACCAAACCAGACGAAAAAAUGACAGUUUCAGAAAAGAGAUGAAGAGGGUGAGGGAAGGUCACCUAUGCAGGGGCGCUUUGCUCGUACAGCUUCAGGUGAGGCGGCGAUUGGCAUACCACUGGUUGGCGGCGCUGCUAGGUGCAGGGAUCCAGGGAUGGGGUUUGGACGGUCGGGCGUGCAGUAUUGGGGCGGGGGGGGUGGGCGUUCGGGCUGAAGUGCAGCUUGGCUGUUUGGGGCCGGCGGCGGAAGGUGAGAUGGCUCGGUGGUGGCGCAGCAAGGUGACGCAGCCUGGGAGGGUGGCGGUGGAGGGGAGCUAGGCAUCCGGUCGUGCAAUAUGGGGGACGACGCGUCGGUAUUGAGGUAGAUCAUGGGUGCUUGGGGCGACGGCGGGAGGUGGGAUUGUUCGGCGGCGGCGUACUCUCACGGCAGGGAGAUUCAGAUUCAGGCAAUUCUAGGUAUUCGGUUUUUAUAUGGCUUAUUGGAAAAGAAAAGAAUAUAACUAAAUAAACAGAAAGCAUUAUUUUUUUGGGGCCCACGAGUCAGAAUUCUAGAUGGGAAGGCGAUCUGAUUAUGAGUUCCUCCCGUCCAUUAACACAUAGCUACGCAUAUCUAUAACACAUGGUAUUCGUUGUUGUCCGUACAGAAGCAACGGAUGUCCUUCCAACGUAUAUUUGCGUUGUUCCAAUGCAUUAUCAAAGCGUUGCAAACUAUGCAUUGCUAUAGGGGGGUUCUUGUUGUAGUGCCUCCCGAUGAGAGGAUCGUUGGUGAUGACGAUGGCGAUGAUUUCCCCCUCCCGGAGGGAAGUUUCCCCGGCAGAACAGCUCUGCCGGAGCCCUAGAUUGGUUCUGCCAAGGUUCCGCCUCGUGGCGGCGGAGUUUCUUCCCGAAAGCUUGCUUGUGAUUUUCCAGGGUAAAAGACUUCACAUAGCAGAAGAUGGACACCGGAGGCCUGCCGGGGGCCCACGAGGCAGGGGGCGUGCCCAGGGGGUUGGGCGCGCCUCCCACCCUCGUGGCCAGGGUGUGGGCCCCCUCUGGUACUUUCUUCCCUCAGUAUUUUUUAUUAAUUCCAAAAACUGCUUCUGUGAAGUUUCAGGACUUUUGGAGUUGUGCAGAAUAGGUCUCUAAUAUUUGCUCCUUUUCCAGCCCAGAAUUCCAGCUGCCAGCAUUCCCCCUCUUCACGUAAACCUUGUAAAAUAAGAGAGAAAAGGCAUAAGUAUUGUGAUAUAACUUGUAAUAAUAUCCCAUAAAGCAAUAAAUAUCGAUAUAAAAGCAUGAUGCAAAAUGGACGUAUCAACUCCCCCAAGCUUAGACCUCGCUUGUCCUCAAGCGGAAGCCGAUAACGAUAAAUAUGUCCACAUGUUUAGAGAUAGAGGUGUCGAUAAAAUAAAAUACGGACAUGACGGCAUCAUGAUCAUUCUUAUAACAACAACAUAUAUGAAUAUUGUCAUAUGAUUUCUUAUGCUCAAGAAAUAAUCUAUUCACAAUGUGAAGUAUGAAUCAGAAAGGACUUAGUCGUGGAGCCAUCGCAACUAGGAAGCUUAAAGGGGUUAAAGCGGGACAAAGGACACGAGGGUUAUACUGGUUCGGCCCCUUACGGUGAAGGUAAAAGCCUACUCCAGUUGAGGUGGAAUUACUAGGGUUUCGAUGACCAGGGAGCGAAUCCGCUAUGCCUGGCUACCGAUUUUAUGUUAUCUCCCUUAAGCCGCCGGCGGGUCAUCCCCUUAUAUACACGGGUUGAUGCCCCGCGGCCUACAGAGUCCCGGCCAGCUUAUAAACAGUAUCCGGCUCGGUAACUAGUUAAUCUUGCCUUACAACACAAGUCACACCAUUACGGCGGUUUAUGACUACGGGCCUUAAGUCACCUACGGGCUUUAGGCCCUUUAUUGAACCGCCAUCUUCAAGCUUUGAUAUUGGGCUUUAUAUGAUGAAUUGCCAUAACGUAACCCGGCCCCAGUUAUAUCCCCAACAUUAGGCUCCAGAUUGAUUUGAACUGGUUCAUAUCGAUCUUCAAUACCUUAAGAAAAAAAACUUCUGGCUUCUGUCUGUGCAAAAGUUAUGACCCGCCGUGACGUCAUCUUCUGGAUUCCUGAUAACCCGCCAUGACGUCAUCUUCCAUUAAAUUCAUUUUUUUAUUCCGUCAUACCCCGACGGAUCUUUAUCUUAAUAACCAUCCCGAAAAUCGAGGCGUCGGAGCCGCUGGGUAAUCAAGUUUUCGGCCUCCUCGUUUUUCGCGCCCACUUAUCAGUCCUCCCUUAUAAAUAAGCAUGACCAGGUCUUUUCUCAUUCUCCCCCUUCCUAUCGUCUUCCUCCUCUCUCGACCUUGCUGCCGCUCGAGCUCCGCUGCCGCCGCCAUAAUAGAGCACCUCAUCUUCGUCGAUCUUGGCCGCUGCAUCAACCUGAAUCGACCAGAGAACAACGGCGAUUCUCCGCAGUGAAUCUGCAGCCGUAAGUCUCCUCCUUCUCGAACGUCAGAUCUGCAUUAGGGUUUCCAAGUUCUUCCCUGUUCUUCGUGGUUCAUCACGGUUUCUUCGUAGUUCUUCCACUGCGGCCUUAUUUGAUCCAAAAGUAAUAUGGAAACUUAUGCGGUAGUUAUUUCGCGUCCAUUUUUAAUACUGGCAGAUCCCUUUCCUUCGUGCAGAGGCCUCACUAGAACUCAUGAACUCAUCUGUACCUGUUUUUAGGUCUAGAAUAUUUUCUUUUCUGAACGACCAUUUGAUCCAAAAUAACAGCUGCAACUUGUGAAACUUGUUUGUGCGACACUUAGGCAAAAACUGUAUCCGUUAUCCAUGACGGCUCUUACCGCCGGCUUAACGAGGCAAUGCUCAAUGAAUGAUCCUGAUCACUCAUAGUGGAUUGCAGACUAAGGCAUAGCCUAGUGGUGGGAAGGGGCUGAUGCCUUCCUACACACCCAGGUUCAAGACAUGGUACUUGCAAUUUGGAUUUGUUGCACCAAUUAUACUGUAGGGGGUUCCCUUACAGUCUUUCUGUCAAAAAAAAAAUCAUAGUGGAUUUAAAUAACUUAAUUGCUACCGUUUCCCAUGGCGGCUUAAACAAUCUGACACAAUUAGCCAUAUAUCAUUAGGCCCCUUCGUAAGCCGCCAUCUUGAAUAUGAAUUGAAGUAUUUUCUCCGGCUUAAAUUUGAACCGGAAAUUUUUAUUUUGUCAUAGGCGUCCAUCCUUCAUAAUGCCGCCCAAAGCUCCCAAAGCACCCAUCACAUGCAACUGGGUUAAAUCCACCGUCACUGAUAGCAUCUUAGCUGAUUUUGUGAAGACUGGUUAUCUGCCGAAGAAAGAGGUCAUGUCCUAUCGUGCUCCUGAUCCGUCAGAAGAAAAACCUCAACCCAAGGAUGGGGAAGUUGUCAUCUUUACUGGUCACAUGAACCGGGGCUUUGCUCCACCCAGCUCAAAAAAUUUCAGAGACGUCCUGCACUUUUUUGACCUGCGACCUCAAGACAUCGGACCCAAUUCCAUGUCAAAUAUCUGCAAUUUCCAAGUGUUCUGUGAGGUGUACCUUGGAGAAGAACCCAGCUUAUUACUCUUUAGAGAGUUAUUUUAUCUGAACCGCCAAAACGAAUGUGCCAAUGGGCCCAGCUUGGAGCUCGGCGGAAUCUCAAUCCAACGACGGAGAGAUUGUCUCUUCCCUUAUGCUGAGCCGCCAAGUCACCCUAAAGAUUGGAACCAGACAUGGUUCUACUGUCAAGACACUUCUCCGGCUGAUGAGAACCCUCUGCCCGGCUUUCGCGCCCUGCGACUAGAGUCAAAUCACCCCUUGCCAGAUAAAUUAUCUCCAGCUGAACGUCAACCACUUGCUCCCACCAUCAACAAGAUCAAAGCUCUUCUGGGGAACGGACUAAAUGGCAUUGAUCUGGUCCGGGUUUGGAUUGCCUGGCGGGUUAUCCCCUUAAGCCGCCGCCCCGGCUUGAUGUGCGAUUACACUGGCCUGAACAAUGAUCCUCUACGGCACAGUCCCAACGACUUACCCGAAGACGUUGUUGAUGACAUGACCAAGUCUCUUCUGAACGAAAGCCUGGCCGAUUGCGGUAAAGUGGGCUUAAGCCCUUUCUGCAAAGCUAACCCAGCUCCAGCGGUAAGCCAUUGACUUGAGCAUUUUACUUCCCACCUUGAUAAUGUUGUCUUUACUCAAAAACCUUUGUUGCAAUUUGCAGGCUGAUGACAAAUUUUGGAAGGUCAAGUAUGACCAUGAGGCUGCAAAGAGAGCCAGAAAAGCUAAGAAAGCCGCCAGGAAAGCCGCUCCCCGUAAGAAGGGAAGCAAGCCUAGCGCCUCGGAUAUGUUUCAUCUGGACGAUACCUCUGAGUCAGAGGUAGCUCUUGACUCUUUAGGUUCCUUUUUUAACCAUCUUAUUGACACUGAUUAUCAGCAGGAGGAUACAGGAAUGAGUCCUGCAGUGAUUGAAGAGGUAACUAUAAUUUCCUCCGACUCCGAGCCUUUGCCGAGACAGAAAGUCCAAAGAAUAACCCGGAAAGUAAGAUUUUCACAUCCUUUAACUUAUCAAAACCCUCAAUUUCUUUUGAAGCGAUAGAUUCACGAAAGUCGGAGGCAGACCCGGACCAGCAAAGAUGCAGACCUCUCCUCCGGCUUACCUGAUGCAACAAGAAAACGCCGGACUGCGGUUACCUCCGAUUUAUAUUCUUUGUAUCCUUUGGCGGGUUUCACUCGUCAAUCACUCAAUUUUUCUGACUCAAACUAUCAGGGGACUUCACCUUCUUCCGGCGACUCAAUGCAAUCUAACAUGCCGGCUUUCAAAACCGCCCAGGGUAAUGAUAAUCUGUUUAUCUUGUGUGUAUCUUACUCAUGUUUUUGUACUAACCCUUUGAUUCCCAGUGUGCAAGUGAAGCCCAGCAAGAAGGCAAGGAGAAGUAAGCCGGCCGAAGAACCGAUCUUGGCUGAAUCGGAGCUCAGAACGGCUGCUGCCGAUACUUCCGUUCCUGAGCCGCCGCCUGAACCAGCUCAUGAUGCUCCAACUUCCACCACUGAUCCAUCUGUCGAACAAACUAUGGAAGGCUCUGAAAACCCAAAGAUCCCCAGCUCGGCCAUGAUGGAUGACCCGGAGGUCGAAAUCACCCGGACGGACUUUGUUGAACCGGGGAGACCUACCGCGCUGGCCAAAUGUUCUGCCAAAGAAGAACUUCUGGAAUGCCGCAAAGUCAAACUGAACGUUACUAAUUAUGCUCAUCUGAGUAUUGGAGAUAUCGUCACUGGCUAUCUGAAUCAAGUGCACAACAUCCGUGAGUUGGAAAUUGACAUGGUGAAGCAGAUUCACCAAAAAUCUGAGGUAUAAUUCUCAUUGCUUAUUCCUUAGUUAUCUUAACUCUACCAGCCCCCAAGUCUACUGCUUAUGAUCAAAUAUAUUGUAGACUUAACACCAGCUUAGUAAUUACUGCAAGAAAACCGGCUUAUCCGGUAGCGCCCAAGGUCCGGCUUAGAUAGCAUAUUUGAUCCAGCCCUCACUGUGUUUUAACCAAGUAUUUGAACAGCAAUAUGCAUUAGCCCCCAAGUGCCAAGCACCUUUGCCUGCAAAGUGCUUGGGACUUACUUUCAUAAACCGCCACUGUAAAUAGAGCUCUUCAGCAUACAUUAGCCCCCAAGUGCUAAGUGUCUUUGCUUGCAAAGUGCUUGGGACUUAAUGUUGCAUUAUGAUCACCCUAACUGUGACCCGGAAUUUAUACAGGCCGCCAUUAAUCAAUUUCAGUCGGAGAUCUCUGAACUGAAGACUCGAUUGAAAACUCAAGAGAAUGAGACCCAAAAGGCAAAUUCCAAGUUUGAAUUCAGCGUAUCUGCUCAAGAGAAACUGAAAAAGAAGUUUGAAGCAGAAAGAAAGGCCUGGGCUGAUGAAAAGGCCGCUUUGCUCAACCGGGCUGAACAAGCGGAGGCUACUCUUGCAGAAACAACCGCCGAAUUAUCCGGCUUAAAACGCCAUGUAUCUCAGAUGGUCUCAGCAAUCUUUGGUAAGUUACUCUGCAAGUGUUAGCUAUUUUAAAUCUCUUUCAACAAGUAUCUCAAUUGUCAUUAGCGCACCUGACUUUGCAAUGCAGGCCCCAGGAGUUCCAAUCUCAACCAGAGCAUGCUGACAAAGCUGAAGGCCGUUUAUACCCUGGUGGAACAACUCUACACCGGGUCACAACGUGCCUUAGCCGUCGUGGCUCUGUCAAAUGAAGUUCCCACUCAUCUGGCGGACGUGCUAAGGCGGCUUGCCGUGCUACCUCAACGAUUCCAAGAACCGAGACGAGCUUCUGCAAGAGCCGGAGCCAUAGCCGCAUUAAGCCGCGCCAAGGCGUGGCUACCGGAGCUAGACCCGGCCGACAUCGCCCUUGGGUAUCCCAGCUUGAAGGAGGACGGCACUCCAUUUGAUCAAAAGGACUUCGCCGCUUGCGUGAAGGACAUACGCCCUAUGGACACUCUCAUUGGCAACGAUACAGAUCUCACCAAGUAUCAACCGGGUUAUGAUGCCGAGAAUCAGAGAAUUCCAACCCCGCGUUAUGAAGCAAUCAGCCUGAUCCCUCCAACUCGUAAGCAUACCUUCGCCCCUGAAGUUGACCCCGCCGGGUUAAUUGAUGAUGAAGCUGAAUUUGAAGCCUUGAGUGGCAUUGACUGGAAAUCAUCAACCUUCCAGGACAGGGAAAUAGCCGGAGGAGCGGAAAGGGAUGAACCGGAAGCUUCAGCCCAAGAACACCUUUGAUCCCUCAGGCGGCUCAUGGUUAUGUCUUGAUAAAAAACAAUGCCUCACUUUUUGGACUCGGGGAGUCAUGUAAUAGAGUAGGAAAAUACUUAAUUUUGUCGUGCCAUUGCGCAUUUGUGUGGCGCUCAACACUUCUUAAGCCGCCAUCUUAUAUUCACCCGUAUUAUACUGAUCCUCUGCUUUCCUUGCUUUAAUUGUCCUGCAUACAGAACAAAUCACAAGUACCUUGGCGGCUUACCGCCUGGAGGGUCAUAUAUUUUACAUAUAACCCGGAGUAUGUAACAAUCAUAAAAACCGGUUCUCAAUCAUAUCUUUGAGACAUAAUCAUAACAGCAUACCUGUGAUCCUUCGAUUAUGCUGCCGGUAUAUGCGAUCCGAACAAUGAGGUUGAGAACCCAACUCCGGUUUACUAGCACAUAUGAUAUUUAUUAUGUGCUAUCAACGUUAUUGAUCAAGGUUAAGCCGGUGGAAUAAAAACCACCCGUGAACACUUUAGAUAUGAUCAAAAAGAACUUCAAGUAAAAUCCAAAAAAUUGUUUGCAAGAAGAAAUUUCAAAAAACCUUAAGGCCGCUGGUUCGGAUACGACCAGAAAACCGUCCCAAAGGGGUUAAGCUAAGAUUCGAAUACGAUCAUAUAGCCCCCAGUGGCUUUGGCGUUGCCGAUCAAGAGGGUACCGACAGCUAUGUUCUCUUUGGUUCGAAUACGACCUAUGUUUGAACAGGAAGCCCCCAAAUGACCUUGAGAGUUGUUUAACGACGCUGAUUUGAAUACGAUCCACGUCGGUUCUCAAAGGGGGUUGAGCUAUGGUUCAAAUAUGACCAAGAAAACCCCCCAAUGAGCUCGGCAGUGUGCCGAUCAAAAGGGUAUCGACAGCUAUGUUCUCUUCGGUUCGAAUAUGACCUAUGUUUGAACAGGAAGCCCCCUAGUAAUCAUGUGAGAUCAUAACGGAAAUAACAAUGACACCUGUUACCUUUGAGGGGAAAAAGGACAGAGGUCCUGCUUUAUUAUUUAUCAUAAUAUAUACAUUGUCACGGAAGUAUGUACAUUAUGAGAGCCGGUGGCUCAAGUGUAAUAAGGCCGAAGCUGAGCUAUAUUCCAUGGCCGGCGGGUCUCCUCCUCCGACUUACGUGAAUCUUUGUGCUCUCGAACAUCGAUGAGGUAGUAUGACCCGUUGUGCAAGUUCUUGCUGACCACAAAGGGCCCUUCCCAAGGUGGGGAUAACUUGUGUGCAUCUGUUUGAUCCUGGAUGAGCCGGAGCACCAAGUCACCUUCCUGAAAGGUUCUGGACUUAACCCGACGGCUGUGAUAGCGGCGCAGGUCUUGUUGGUAAAUCGCCGAGCGAGCUACUGCUAUAUCACGCUGUUCAUCCAACAAGUCAAGAGCAUCCUGACGUGCUUGUUCAUUGUUCGUCUCAACAUAAGCCGCCACACGAGGCGAGUCAUGACGGAUGUCGCUAGGGAGAACCGCCUCGGCUCCGUAAACCAUGAAGAAAGGCGUAUAACCCGUAGACCUAUUAGGAGUAGUAUUGAUGCUCCAUAUCACAGAGGGUAACUCCUCCACCCAACAACCCGGCGUCCGCUGCAAAGGGACCAAAAGCCGAGGCUUGAUGCCUUUCAAGAUUUCCUGAUUGGCUCUCUUAGCUUGACCAUUGGAUUGGGGGUGAGCCACUGAUGAAACAUCAAGUCGAAUAUGCUCUUGUUGACAAAAUUCUUCCAUGGCGCCUUUAGACAGAUUGGUACCAUGUCAGUUAUAAUGCUGUGUGGAAAACCAAAGCGAAAUAUCACCUUUUUCAUGAACUGAACCGCCAUGGCCGCAUCACACUUACUAACUGGCUCUGCCUCAACCCACUUUGUGAACUUGUCAACCGCCACCAAGAGGUGGGUCUUCUUAUCCUUGGACCUUUUGAAAGGUCCAACCAUAUCAAGCCCCCAGACUGCAAACGGCCAAGUGAUUGGAAUCAUCCUCAACUCUUGAGCCGGCACGUGAGCACGUCUUGAGAACUUCUGACAACCGUCACAUUCACUUACUAAGUCCUCUGCAUUAGCAUGAGCCGUCAGCCAAUAAAAACCGUGACGAAAAGCUUUGGCUACAAGGGAUUUUGAGCCGGCAUGAUGGCCACAAUCCCCCUCGUGAAUCUCUCGUAAAAUUUCUUGCCCUUCCUCAGGGGAAACACAACGCUGAAAAGCCCCAGUGACACUGCGAUGAUGCAACUCGCCAUUGGCAAUUAUCAUUGACUUAGACCGCCGGGUUAUUUGUCUGGCCAAAAUUUCAUCCUCAGGCAAUUCUCCCCGGGUCAUGUAAGCCAAGUAUGGCACUGUCCAAUCUGGGAUAACAUGAAGAGCCGCCACCAACUGUGCUUCAGGGUCUGGAACAGCCAAGUCUUCCUCUGUAGGUAACUUGACAGAAGGGUUAUGCAAAAUAUCCAAGAAAGUAUUAGGCGGCACCGGCUUUCGCUGAGAGCCCAGCCGGCUUAAGGCAUCAGCCGCCUCGUUCUUUCUGCGGUCAAUGUGCUUUACUUGGUAACCCUGAAAAUGUCCGGCAAUGGCAUCAACUUCACGGUGAUAAGCCGCCAUGAGGGGGUCCUUGGAAUCCCACUUGCCUGAUACUUGUUGGGCCACCAAAUCUGAGUCGCCAAAGCACCUCACCCGGCUUAAGCUCAUCUUCUUAGCCAUCCGAAGACCAUGGAGCAAGGCCUCGUACUCAGCUGCAUUGUUAGUACAGGGAAACAUCAACCGUAGUGCAUAACAAAAUUUGUCACCUCGAGGGGAAGCUAACACGACUCCAGCCCCCGAGCCCUCCAAUUGCCUGGAUCCGUCGAAGUGAAUAGUCCAGUAUGUGUUAUCCGGUUUCUCCUCAGGCAUCUGCAGCUCUGUCCAAUCGUUGAUGAAAUCUACCAAUGCUUGUGAUUUGAUAGCUGUGUGUGGCACAUACUUUAGACCAUGAGGCCCAAGUUCAAUGGCCCACUUAGAGACUCUUCCUGUGGCUUCUCUGUUUUGGAUGAUAUCUCCUAAAGGAGCAGAACUAACCACAGUGAUAGGGUGGCCCUGGAAAUAUUGCUUAAGCUUCCGGCUUGCCAUGAAUACCCCAUAAACAAGCUUCUGCCAAUGUGGAUACCGUUGCUUGGACUCAAUAAGUACUUCGCUGACGUAGUAAACCGGCCGCUGAACCGGAUGUUCCUUACCCGCCUCCUUGCGCUCCACCACGAUGGCCACACUGACGGCUCGUGUGUUAGCAGCUACAUACAAUAAUAAGGGCUCCUUAUCAACAGGAGCAGCAAGAACUGGCGGUUCAGCUAACUGUCUUUUCAAAUCCUCAAAAGCGGUGUUGGCAGCAUCACUCCAGACAAAGUCAUCUGUUUUCUUCAUCAUCUGAUACAGCGGUAUGGCCUUUUCUCCCAACCGGCUUAUAAAUCGACUUAAAGCAGCGCUCCGACCUGCCAGACGCUAGACGUCAUUUAUACACGCUGGCUUAGCCAGAGAGGUGAUUGCCUUGAUCUUCUCCGGAUUAGCUUCAAUGCCUCUAUGAGAAACCAGAAAACCCAAGAGCUUGCUUGCAGGAACACCGAAGACGCACUUGGCCGGGUUAAGCAUCAUAUUGUAGACCCGGAGAUUACCAAAGGUCUCCCUCAGAUCGUCUAUCAAGGUCUCCUUCUCUCUGGAUUUUACCACAAUAUCAUCCACAUAGGCAUGAACGUUGCGCCCAAUCUGAUUAUGAAGACAAUUCUGUAUGCACCGCUGGUAAGUCGCCUGGGCGCUCUUGAGCCCAAACGGCAUAGACACAUAACAAAAGGCUCCAAAAGGGGUAAUGAACGUCGUCUUCUCUUGGUCCUUAACUGCCAUUUUGAUCUGAUGGUAUCCAGAGUAAGCAUCCAAAAAACUUAAACGCUCACAACCCGCCGUAGCAUCAAUAAUUUGAUCAAUACGGGGGAGAGAAAAAGGAUUAGCCGGACAAGCCUUGUUUAGAUCCGUAUAAUCCACACACAUACGCCAGGUGCCGUUCUUCUUGAGCACGAGCACCGGGUUAGCUAGCCAUUCUGGAUGAAAGACUUCAACGAUGAACCCGGCCGCCAAGAGCCGGGCCACUUCCUCACCAAUGGCUUUCCGCCUCUCCUCAUUAAACCGCCGGAGAAAUUGCUUGAUUGGCUUAAAUUUUGGAUCAAUGUUAAGAGUGUGCUCAGCGAGUUCUCUCGGUACACCCGGCAUGUCAGAAGGUUUCCAUGCAAAGAUGUCCCGGUUCUCACGGAUGAACUCGAUGAGCGCGCUUUCCUAUUUAGGAUCCAGAUUGGCACUUAUGCUGAACUGCUUAGAUGAGUCGCCUGGCACAAAGUCAAUAAGCUUAGUCUCAUCGGCUGACUUAAAUUUCAUUACUGGCUCAUGCUUCGUGGUCGGCUUUUUCGAAGACGUCAUAUCCGCCGGGUCAACAUUAUCCUUGUAAAACUUUAAUUCCUCUGUCGCACAAACAGAUUCAGCGUAAGCAGCGUCAGCUUCCUCGCACUCCAAGGCUAUCUUUCGGCUGCCAUGAACCGUAAUGGUCCCAUUGUGACCCGGCAUCUUCAGCUGCAAAUAUACGUAACACGGCCGUGCCAUGGACUUGGCGUAAGCCGGCCGCCCAAAUAAAGCAUGGUACGGGCUUCUUAUUUUGACCACCUCAAAAGUCAGUUUUUCCGCCUUGUAGUUGUACUCAUCUCCAAAGGCUACUUCCAGCUCGAUCUUACCAACUGGAUACGCCGACUUACCGGGCACCACACCAUGGAAAACAGUAUUGGACUGGUUGAGGUUUUUAUCAGUUAAUCCCAUACGACGGAAGGUCUCAUAAUAGAGGAUGUUGAUGCUACUGCCUCCGUCCAUGAGUACCUUAGUGAAUUUAUACCCACCAACUUGAGGAGCCACCACCAAGGCCAGGUGACCUGGAUUAUCAACCCGGGGAGGGUGAUUUUCCCUACUCCAUACAAUCGGCUGUUCAGACCAUCGCAAGUAACGUGGAACUGCCGGCUCAACAGCGUUCACAACCCUCUUAUGAAGCUUCUGGUCUCGCUUGCACAAAUUGGUAGUAAACACAUGAUGCUGUCCACUGUUGAGCUGCUUUGGAUGGGUCUUGUAUCCCCCCUGCUGCUGCUGCUGAUUACCCUGGCCAGAUUGCUGGUUAAAACCACCUUGAUUACCUUGAGAAUUCUGAAAAUUGGAAUUUGAACCGCCGCCCGGGCCAUGAAAGCCGCCGCCACCUGAGCCGCUGCCCUGCCCAUUGUUACCGUUGAACAUGUUGGAAUUCUUGAAAGCUUUCAUGAUCGCGCAGUCUUUCCAUAGAUGAGUGGCCGGCUUCUCCCUAGAGCCAUGCCUUGGGCAGGGCUCAUUUAACAACUGCUCAAGCGUCGGGCCUGACCCGCCAGACCGGGGAGGCUGUCUCCCCUUACGUCGGAGAUUGUUACCCUGCGUGUUGGUGUUGGCCAGAAACUCCAUACCAUCAUCAGCCUUACGCUUAUUACCUCCCUGAUUCACCGGGUUAUGCUGAGGGUCCUUGCCGUUGCCAUUCUUCUUUCCCUUCCUUGUCUUUUCCUCAUCAGACACGGGAUCCUUGGUACUAUCAGAGUCGGCGUACUUGACCAGAGCCGCCAUCAGCGUACCCAUAUCGUUGCAAUCGCGCUUGAGCCGCCCAAGCUUCAUCUUCAGGGGCGCAAAACGACAAUUUUGCUCCAACAUUAAAACCGCAGAGCCGGCAUCCAUCUUAUCAGACGAAUGUAUUAUUUCCUUGACCCGGCGUACCCAACGGGUCGUAGACUCGCCUUCUUGCUGCUUGCAGUUAGUCAAAUCCACAAUUGACAUAGAUUGCCUACAUGUAUCUUUGAAGUUUUGGAUGAACCGGCCUUUCAGCUCUGCCCAUGACCCGAUGGAAUUAGGUGGCAGUCCCUUUAACCAAGUGCGGGCAGUCCCAUCCAACAUCAUGGUGAAGUAUUUGGCCAUUGCCGCUUCGCUGACCUCCAGCAACUCCAUAGCCAUCUCGUAGCUUUCAAUCCAUGCUCCGGGCUGUAAAUCAGCUGUGUAAUUAGGUACCUUCCUAGGUCCUUUGAAAUCUUUGGGCAGACGUUCGUUACGGAGAGCCGGCACCAGACAAGGGACACCUCCGGUCCUCGUAGCUAUGCCUACCUCGAUAGAAGCCGUCGGAUAAACCGGGAGGGGUUGGUAAGCUGUCAGCUGAGCCGCCUGCUCCACCUCUUGACGUGCUCUGUCUUGGUCUACCGCGUUAAAGGCUCUGUUAUGCGCCGGGCCGUGGCCAGCUGGUAAGUCACGGCGCCGGACGUUGCUUGAGCCGGUCGCUGAAACCAUGUGUCUGCUAUAACUUGGGCUCCGGUUUGGACGAUGGGUUGAAUGAAUCUUGUCCCGGCUAUAUGAAUAUGCCUCCUGUUGUGCCAGAGCCGUCUGAAGAAGUUCUCUGACCCUGCGGGUUUCGACCGCCGUUGGAGAGUCACCCUCGACUGGGAGAGCCGCCAGUCGCGCCGCUGCAGCGAUCAUGUUUUCCAACGGAUUAGAAUAAUGACCCAGUGGUAUCGGCACGUAUUGAGGUGGGGCAGUAUUCACACGGGGAGGCCCCAUCACUUGCAGCUGAACCGGCGUUCCAGCCCCGGGUGCCGUGAUUUCUGGCGGGUUACUGGGCCCUGCACCGGGCGUGUUGAGAGGUUUCGAGGAUCAUAAACCGGAGGGAGCCGAGAUUGAGCCUUCUGAUGCCUCCUUCUCAUGACCUCAUUGGAUGCGUUCUGAUCCAUCGUGAGCCGGAAGGACUGCGCCUGAAUCAGUUGAGUCUGGGCGUCCAGAGCCGCCCGUUCUGCAGCCAUCCUGACUCCCUCCGCUGCCAGAUCUUCCUUGGCUCGUGCUAUAUCCAGCUUUAACUGUGCCACCUCCGCAUCAUGUUGAGCUUGAUCCGCUGGGACGACCGUGGCGGUUAGCAGGGCAGUCAUCUUAUCCGUGAGAUCCAUCAGCACCUGAGCCGACGAGUGCACAGGGCCUCCUGCCCCAGCGGCGGAGUUUUGAACAGGUUGUUGGGAAUCGUAGCAUAAUUUAAAAUUUUCCUACGCUCACCAAGAUGCAUCUAUGGAGUCUACUAGCAACGAGGGGAAAGGAGUGGAUCUACAUACCCUUGUAGAUCGCGAGCGGAAGCGUUCCAAUGAACGUGGAUGAUGGAGUCGUGCUCGCCGUGAUCCAAAUCACCGAUGACCGAGUGCCGAACGUACGGCACCUCCGCGUUCAACACACGUACGGUGCAGCGACGUCUCCUCCUUCUUGAUCCAGCAAGGGGGGAGGAGAGGUUGAUGGAGAUCCAACAGCACGACGGCGUGGUGGUGGAUGUAGCGGGUCUCCGGCAGGGCUUCGCCGAGCUUCUGCGAGAGAGAGAGAGGUGUUGCAGGGGAGGAGGGAGGCGCCCAAGGCUUAGAUGUUGCUGCCCUCCCUAACCCCCACUAUAUAUAGGGCCAAGGGAGAGGGGGGGCGCAGCCUUGCCCCUUCCUCCAAGGAAGGGUGCGGCCAGGGGGGAGUCCUUCCCCCCCAAGGCACCUCGGAGGUGCCUUCCCCCUUUAGGACUCUCCCUUCUUUCUUAUCUCUUGCGCAUGGGCCUCUUGGGGCUGGUGCCCUUGGCCCAUAUAGGCCAAGGCGCACCCCUUACAGCCCAUGUGGCCCCCUGGGGCUGGUGGACCCCCUUGGUGGACCCCCGGACCCCUUUCGGCACUCCCGGUACAAUACCGAUAAAGCGCGAAACUUUUCCGGCGACCAAAAUAAGACUUCCCAUAUAUAAAUCUUUACCUCCGGACCAUUCCGGAACCUCUCGUGAUGUCCGGGAUCUCAUCCGGGACUCCGAACAACUUUCAGGUUUCCGCAUACAUAUAUCUCUACAACCCUAGCGUCACCGGACCUUAAGUGUGUAGACCCUACGGGUUCGGGAGACAUGCAGACAUGACCGAGACGCCUCUCCGGUCAAUAACCAACAGCGGGAUCUGGAUACCCAUGUUGGCUCCCACAUGUUCCACGAUGAUAACAUCGGAUGAACCACGGUGUCGAGGAUUCAAUCAAUCCGUAUGCAAUUCCCUUUGUCAAUCGGUAUGUUACUUGCCCGAGAUUCGAUCGUCGGUAUCCCAAUACCUUGUUCAAUCUCGUUACCGGCAAGUCUCUUUACUCGUACCGCAAUGCAUGAUCCCGUGACUAACGCCUUAGUCACAUUGAGCUCAUUAUGAUGAUGCAUUACCGAGUGGGCCCAGAGAUACCUCUCCGUCACACGGAGUGACAAAUCCCAGUCUCGAUCCGUGCCAACCCAACAGACACUUUCGGAGAUACCCGUAAUGCACCUUUAUAGUCACCCAGUUACGUUGUGACGUUUGGCACACCCAAAGCACUCCUACGAUAUCCGGGAGUUGCACGAUCUCAUGGUCUAAGGAAAAGAUACUUGACAUUGGAAAAGCUCUAGCAAACGAAACUACACGAUCUUUUAUGCUAUGCUUAGGAUUGGGUCUUGUCCAUCACAUCAUUCUCCUAAUGAUGUGAUCCCGUUAUCAAUGACAUCCAAUGUCCAUAGUCAGGAAACCAUGACUAUCUGUUGACCAACGAGCUAGUCAACUAGAGGCUUACUAGGGACAGGUUGUGGCCUAUGUAUUCACACAUGUAUUAUGAUUUCCGGACAAUACAAUUAUAGCAUGAAUAAUAGACAAUUACCACGAACAAAGAAAUAUAAUAAUAACCAUUUAUUAUUGCCUCUAGGGCAUAUUUCCAACACAGGUUGCAUGCCGGCCAUGAAGAUUCCAACCCGGCUUGGCGGCUCAAAAGGGUCCGUAAUACUGUCGCCACCGGAACAACCCCCGAGCCUGCCGUCUCGAAACUGAUACAACGAGUCCGUCUCACCUGUGGAUGAUUCAUCAUCAGGCAGAUGGCCGUCUCAUCGCUAGAUCUAGAUCCUUCAGAGAGUCCUCCGUGGAUGCAUCCCACGAAAGCACGCUUCAAGGCGGGCAGAGUCCGGGCGGGUCUCGCACGCUGAGCCGUCUCGAUGAGGUCGGUGCAGAUGUCCGGCUCAGGGCCCGGCUCGCCGAUCUUGCCAAUGAAAACAUGGAUUCCACCGAAGGGGACCCGGUACCCGUACUCAAUUGAGCCAGCGUCGGGGCCCCAGCCUGCGUCGUUGAUGUAGAGCUUGCCACGACGACUCUUGGCCAUCCGGCCCACAGCGUAUCCCUUGAGCCCUUCGAAGUUGCGCUUCAAGAACUCAAAUCCACCAUGCGCUGGCCCCACGGUGGGCGCCAACUGUCGUGGAAUAGUCACGGCAGAUGCCCUUGUGAAAGGACUUAGUCGUGGAGCCAUCGCAACUAGGAAGCUUAAAGGGGUUAAAGCGGGACAAAGGACACGAGGGUUAUACUGGUUCGGCCCCUUACGGUGAAGGUAAAAGCCUACUCCAGUUGAGGUGGAAUUACUAGGGUUUCGAUGACCAGGGAGCGAAUCCGCUAUGCCUGGCUACCGAUUUUAUGUUAUCUCCCUUAAGCUACCGGCGGGUCAUCCCCUUAUAUACACGGGUUGACGCCCCGCGGCCUACAGAGUCCCGGCCAGCUUAUAAACAGUAUCCGGCUCGGUAACUAGUUAAUCUUGCCUUACAACACAAGUCACACCAUUACGGCGGUUUAUCACUACGGGCCUUAAGUCACCUACGGGCUUUAGGCCCUUUAUUGAACCGCCAUCUUCAAGCUUUGAUAUUGGGCUUUAUAUGAUGAAUUGCCAUAACGUAACCCGGCCCCUCCUGGGCGGGUUACGCCAGUAGUUAUAUCCCCAACACUACUGGUUCUAUUUCCUCAACUCUUUCAUUUCCUCAUUACUGUGUUGUGUGCUUGUCAUAUCUGUGUUUGAAGACUUUGACUAAAGACUUUCUCAAUUUCCUCAGUUCAAUUUCUUCAGUCUGUUUGUCUUCAUCCUGUGCUAUCCUGUGUUUACGCUUCUGUACUCUGUGCUUGUCUUCAUUUCAUCAUGAUGACCAUGCUUGUGUUCUGCUAUGCAUACUUUUGAGUACUGAUUCCGCUGCAAGUAGUUCUUCACUAAGGAAUUUCCUCACUGGCAAAUUCCUCAGUGAAGAAUUCAUAAAAAUCGCCUAUUCACCCCCCUCUAGUCGAUAUAACGCACUUUCAAUUGGUAUCAGAGCAAGGUACUCCCUUGUUUUGUGUGAUUUUGGUUUAACCGCCUGGAGUUUUAGUUAUGUCGACCGCAGGUAUGAUCAAGGUCUCUGCUGGGUGUCCUACCUUCGAUGGGAUGGACUACCCCUACUGGAAGAAUAAGAUGAGAAUGCAUCUUGAGGCAAUUGAUAAUGAUCUCUGGUAUGUUGUGGAAAAUGGUGUUCCCUCUGUCUCACCCUCACUGAACGCUACCGAUGUGAAGAGAUUCAAGCAACUCGAUUCUCAAGCGAAGAAUAUCAUAUGUGGCCAUCUGAGCAAAGGAUAGUAUGGAAGAGUGAGUGCUUUGGAAACUGCUAAGCUUAUCUGGGAUAGGCUGUCCAAAGUAAAUGAAGGAGUCUCAACUCAGCGUGGCUCUUGAGUUGAUGUUCUUCGCAAUCUCUUCAACCGCUUCAAAAGACUCGACAAUGAAAAUGUUCAACAAACCUUCGAUCGCCUCACUGACAUCUCAAAUGAGCUUCAAGCGCUUGGUGCCAUUGACAUCACCGACCAUGAGGUGGUGAAGAAAUUGUUGAGAUCGCUUGAUUCCUCAUUUGAUACUAUGGCAUUGAUGAUACAAGAACGUGCUGAUUACAAGUCACUUGAUCCUGCUGAUAUCCUCGAGAGGCUAAAUACUCAUGACUUCCAGCUUGCUGAAAAGAGAGACCUUUAUGGUUUGAGCUAUGGCAGAUCACGUGCACUGAAGGCCAAGGCAGUUUCUGAGUCUGAAAUGAAGACUCUGACAGCAGCCUUGGUGAUCCUGAAGAACUGAGCCAUGAUCUAGCACUGCUCGUGAAGAAAUUCCAGAAGUUCUCAAGACGUGGCUGCUUUGGAAGACCCUCAAGGAGCAAUGAUUCCUCACCCAGUGACUACAAGAAGAGGCUUUGUCACAAAUGCAAGAAACCGGGACACUACAUUCAAGAUUGUCCUCAGUGGGAAAAGGAAUCAAAGAAGAAGAAAUACAAGGACUAUAGUUCUGAUGAUGCGAAGAAAAAGAAGAAAUACAAGGACUAUAGUUCUGAUGAUGCGAAGAAAAAGAAGACAUCCUCAAAAUCUUCAUCAUCAAAAUCCUCAAAGUCUUCAUCUCACAAGAAGAGCAGCUCCAAGAAGGCUCGGGCAUUCAUUGGCAAAGAAAUGGACUCUGAGGCUGAAUCUGAAGAAAAUGAGGAAGAGGAGGCAUCUGAGGAUUCCGAAUCUGGUGUGGCGAGCCUAGCCCUCGCUACUGCAUUCGUCAGCAAGUCUAUCUUCAACACUGAAGAAAAUGACCUCACCAACAAGGCUGAUGAAGGCAAUGAUGACUACGCUCCCACCUAUUGCUUCAUGGCAAAGGGUGCCAAGGUACUCAAAUAUACCUCCUCUGAAUCAAGUGAAAAUGAAUCUAAUGAAAACCUUAAGCCCAGCUAUUUUAAACUUGCUAAGAUUGCUGUGAAACAACAAAGGGCCCUUGAAAAGGUUCAAAACAUACUAGACAAAAGUGAUGAUAUGUUGGGUGAAGAAAUGGAUCGCACUAAAACCCUGACUGAAAAUCUUCAGAGACUUCAGACUAGGUUUGACAACCUUCAAGGUCAUCAUAACACUCUCUUAUCUGAUCAUGAGAAGCUUUCUUAUGAAUUUCUUCAAAGAAAGCAAGAUCUUGAGAAGCUAAGAGUGAGUUAUGAAGAUCUUCAGAAGGAGCGCGAUUCAUUACUUGCUCAACAAAUCAGCGCUGCUCAGGAAGAAUUUGUUCCUCCAUGUUUGAAAUGCAUUGAACAUGAAUCUGCUAAUUCUUCACCUGAAUGUUCAAAUGCUUCUAAUGCUACAAAUUCUUCAACUGUCUCUGCUAUCACUAAUUCCUCAUCUGAGGACAUUGCUAGUAUCACUGAUGAUGCAGGGCUGAAGGAAUUGUACAUGACAGGCAUGUACAAAAGCCUCAAAGGGCAUCAGACUCUUUGUGAUGUGCUUAAAAAGCAGAUCCUCAACAGGAACCCUAGGAAAGAGGGUAUUGCCUUUGAGAGGAAACUCAAUGCUGAUGGUACAUAUUGGAAGCCUGAGCAGUACCCCAAAACCUCAUGGGUUGCUGCAAAGGGACCUCUAGUUGAUCCAUCUAAUUUAUCUGGCUUUACAUGUGAAUCUUCUCAUUCUUCUGAUGAGUCAUUUGACUCCAACUAUCAACUGUUCAAAAAUCAGAAUGGUGAAGUAUUUGCUAGAUAUGUUGGCACUAACUGCAGGAAUGGUUCUCCUAUGAAGAAAAUCUGGGUUCCCAAAAGGUGCCUUGAAAGUCUUCAGGUGAAUGUCCUCAUGACACCACCUGUGAAGAAUAGGAACCCCAAAUCAAAUUCUUCAUAUGGACCAAACUCUUCAUAUGGAUCCAAGUCCUCAUACGGACCAAAUUCCUCACAUGGAUCAAAUUCCUCAAUAGGAUCAAAGUCCUCAUAUGAACAUCAUUGUGCUAACAACUCUGUUUCGCAGGGAAGAGCCAAGGGCUAUGAAUAUGAGCAUUAUUCUUCUAAUCAUUAUGUUCAUAAGUCCUCGAAGAAUUUCUCUGCUUAUUCAUAUGCUUACCCUAACUCCUCUUAUGUGAAACAAAAUGGAUUGGCUUCUAUGCCACCUUUCUCUUAUGGAGCUCGCGGAGUGAUGAACUCUUUGCCACCCCUUCAGAUUUGGGUGGUGAAGAAAAAGAACUAAUCUUUUAUGCAGGGUCAGGUCUCCAGACAUACUUUAACGUCUGAAGAAUUUGCUGGAGACCUGAAAAGUGCCUGAAAGGACGCAGGCUAAUCAUGAAGAAAUGAACUUUCAUUUCUCACAUCCUCAUACUGCUUUAACUAUUGCAUUGCUUGAUGAAAUUGGUCUGAUGAAUUGUGAUGUCAUAUUCUUCAUUGAUGAAGUAUAUGAAGUUCGUAAGCUGCACUAAUUCAUCUGCAGGAUGAUCAACCCAAAGCCACUGAGUGGGUCCUCGAUAGUGGAUGUACAAAUCAUAUGACUGGUGACAAGAAUCUAUUGAUGGAUGCUCCCUUAUCACCAUCGCAUCUGAAGCAUAUCAUCUUCGCUGACAAAGGCAAAAGUCAGGUAUUGGGUCUAGGUAAGGUUGCGAUCACAAAGGAUCGACACAUGGGCAAAGUCAUGCUUGUCGAGGCCUUAGGAUACAACCUCAUGUCUUUCUCAAUGCUUUGUGAUCUUGAUAUGGUUGUUGUCUUUGGCAAGUAUCGUUGUGUUGUGGUUAUGGAAGCUGAUAAUUCCAAAGUCUUCGAAGGCUUUAGGAGAGGAGACUUGUAUAUUGUUGAUUUCUCUACAGGACCGCAACCAGCCGUGUGCCUACUUGCAAAAGCUUCAGAAGGCUGGCUAUGGCAUCGACGACUUGGUCAUGCAGGCAUGAGGAAUUUGCACACGCUUGCGAAGAAGAAGCAUGUCAUUGGCAUUGAGAAUGUCAAAUUCCUCAAGGAUCACUUGUGUGGAGCUUGUGAAGCUGGAAAGAUGACCAAGGCUAAGCAUCCAGCGAAGACUAUCAUGACCACUACUCGACCAUUUGAAUUGCUUCAUAUGGAUCUCUUCGGUCCUAACCAUUACUCAUCAGUCACAAAUGAUGCAUCUCUCUAUGGCUUUGUUAUUGUUGAUGAUUACUCUCGUUACACAUGGGUACAUAUUGUCACUUACAAACAUGAAGUGCAGGAAGUCUUCAAAUGAUUUUCCUCGAGGGCUUCAACCAACUUUGGUGUGAAGAUCAAGCACAUCAGAAGUGACAAUGGAACUGAGUUCAAGAAUUCUGGUCUUGAUGACUAUCUUGAUGAACUUGGUAUUACUCAUGAGUUAUCUGCUCCUUACACUCCUCAGCAAAAUGGCGUCGUGGAGCGCAAGAAUAGAACUCUUGUUGAGAUGGCUCGCACUAUGCUUGAUGAGUACAAGACGCCUCGUCACUUCUGGAUUGAGGCAAUUUAUACUGCGUGCCACAUCAUCAACAGGGUAUAUCUUCAAAAAUUCUUCAAGAAGACUGCCUAUGAACUCCUCACUGACAAGAAACCCAAUGUGAGUUAUUUCAAAGUCUUCGGUGCUAAAUGUUGGAUUAGAGAUCCUCAUCACAAUGCUAAAUUUGCACCGAAAGCACAUGAAGGUUUUAUGCUUGGUUACGGAAAGGACUCGCACACCUACAGAGUCUUCAACAACGUUCUUCACAAGGUUGUUGAAACUGUAGAUGUGCGGUUUGAUGAAACUAAUGGCUCGCAAAGGGAGCACCUACCUUCUGUGAUAGAUGAACCAGCACCUGAGGAAUCUAUCAAGUUCAAGGCUACUGAGGAUGUCAUUCCUACCGAAGAAUCUGCUGAAGAAUUCAUUCCAGAACGUGAAGAACGUCGAGCUAAUGCACCUGAAGAAAAUGCUGAUCAAAUUCCUCAACGACAACCAACUCAUCCUCGUGUCGCAAAAGAAGUGCAAGUUGAAAAGAUCAUCGAUGACAUUAAAGCACCAGGUCCUCUCACACGCUCAAAAGCUUCACAUUUAUCUAACUUUUGUGGGCACUAUGCUUUUGUCUCUAUCACAGAGCCCACUAAGGUAGAUGAAGCAUUUCUGGAGCCUGAGUGGAUUCAUGCCAUGCAAGAAGAAUUACAUCAGUUCCAGCUCAACAACGUUUGGGAACUGGUCAAUCGUCCAGAUCCUCGCAAACACAAUAUCAUUGGCACAAAGUGGAUCUACCGCAACAAGCAAGAUGAAAAUGGCCUUGUGGUGAGGAAUAAGGCACGGCUAGUAGCUCAAGGCUACACACAGGUUGAAGGAAUUGAUUUCGAUGAAACUUUUGCACCUGUUGCUAGACUUGAAGCUAUUCGCAUAUUACUCGCUUAUGUUAACCAUCAUGAUAUCACUUUAUAUCAAAUGGAUGUGAAAAGUGCAUUCCUCAAUGGUAAGCUUGAGGAAGAAGUAUAUGUUGCUCAACCCCCAGGUUUUGAAGAUCCUAAGCAUCCUGACAAAGUCUUCAGACUAAAUAAGGCCCUCUAUGGCCUCAAGCAGGCCCCUCGGGCGUGGUAUGAUACUUUGAAGGAAUUCCUCAUGAGGAAAGGCUUCAAACCCGGUUCACUCGACCCUACACUUUUCACUAAAUCAUAUGAUGAUGAAUUGUUCGUGUGCCAAAUAUAUGUUGAUGAUAUCAUAUUUGGCUGUACUAACCAACGUUAUAGUGAUGAAUUUGCCUAUAUGAUGAGUGAAGAAUAUCAAAUGUCUAUGAUGGGAGAGUUGAAAUUCUUCUUAGGUCUUCAAAUUCGUCAACAGCGCAAUGGCAUAUUCAUAUCUCAGGAGAAAUACCUCAAGGAUGUACUGAGGAAAUUCGGCAUGCAAGAUUGCAAAGGCGUCAAAAUUCCGAUGCCCACAAAUGGCCAUCUGUGCACUGAUGAAAAUGGUAUUGACUUCGAUCAAAAGGUAUACCGCUCCAUGAUUGGUUCUUUAUUGUAUUUAUGUGCAUCUAGGCCAGAUAUUAUGCUUAGUGUUUGCAUCUGUGCCCGAUUUCAAGCUACACCGAAGGAAUCACACCAUAAGGCUAUGAAACAUAUUCUUCGAUAUCUAGCUCACACACCAACACUUGGAAUAUGGUACCCCAAGGGCUCGGCUUUUGAUCUCAUUUGAUAUUCUGACUCUGACUAUGCUGGUGAUCGUGUGGACCGCAAGUCAACAUCUGCUACAUGUCAUUUCCUCGGACGAUCUUUGGUCUGUUGGUCCUUGAAGAAACAGAACUACGUAUCACUGUCUACUGCUGAAGCUGAGUACAUUGCUGCUGGCUCUUGCUGUGCUCAAUUGUUGUGGAUGAAGCAAACUCUCAAGGACUACGGCGUCAAAGUGAAGAAUGUGCCUCUCUUCUGUGACAAUGAGAGUGCCAUUAAGAUUUCUCACAACCCAGUUCAGCACUCGAAGACAAAGCACAUUCAGAUUCGUCAUCAUUUUCUUCGCGAUCAUGUGUUGAAGGGCGACAUUUCUAUUGAGCAUGUGAAGACUGAAGAACAGCUAGCCGAUAUCUUCACUAAGCCCUUGGAUGAGAAGAGAUUUAGCAAGUUGCGGUGUGAGCUAAAUAUCCUAGAAUCUUUGAAUGUUCUUUGAAAAGGACACUCAUCCUAACACUUAUGCAAAAUUGAUGACUUAGAUGUGCAACACAUGAAGAAACGUUUUUCCUCAAUCAAUGAAGAAUAACACUCUAAGUGUGAAGAAAUUAACGAAGAAUUUGAUUCUCAGAACCCUACGACAAUUGUACGCGGUGUCUGAAAUCAUCAUUCUUAUACGGUGGGUCACGCCACCACCAAAAGUUGAAAAUCUUCAAUUUGAGUUUUUCCUCAAUUUUGAAAUUCCUCAGUUGUUCAAAAUCUUCAACUUUGCAAAAUCUUCACUGUUUCCGUCGUUUUUCUUCAUUGGCUAUAUAUAUAUAUAUAUAUAUAUAUAUAUAUAUAUAUAUAUAUAUAUAUAUAUAUAUAUAUAUAUAUAUGAGUUUAUGUCCUCUACAACAUUCACUUAUUGCUAUUUCUUCAAGUUGCUAUUUCUGCUAAGUGAAUGUGAUUGGACCCUUCCCCCUCUAUGCUAUACUCAACCCAAUCUAUUCACAAAUUCUUCAUGUGUGUUCUAUUUGAAACUCAUUUAAAAACUUCACUGUGUCCUUGUCAGCUGAAGAAUUUGCGAACGGAACUUUUAACUUAUCUUAUCCAAAUUUUUGGCUUUGCCACUCAAACCGUUCCGCAUCCCAUGAAAUACUUAUCUAUUCACCCACGAUCUAACACGAUCUCCACUUCUCAGUACGUGGGUGACACGUGUCAAGUGAAUGAGAAGGGUCAGAGGCACGUUCGUCCAAUAUCUUUGGGCGAACCGUUUUUCACCGUGACUAUAAAUACCCCCUCUCCCCUUCCUCACUUCCUUUACUUCGCUCGACCUCUCUCCAGCUCAAGCUUCUCAAACCCUAGCGCCGCCGCUACUUCAUUGUCGCCGGUGAGGAAGAGCUUCACUGCCUCGACCUCGUCGCCGUCGUACUCGUGCCGGCCGCGGAAAUCUUCACUCCGCCGCCGCCGUAGCCGUCUUCCUCCGCCGAGUUAGGGCGUGGAAGAUCUGCACAGACGAACUUCACUUCUCCACCUCAUAGUUCGUCGUGUUCUUCGUUCAGGGUAAUUAAAAGUUACUUUUACUGCCCUCUUUGAUUCAAAUGAUUUCUGCAAAAUCUUCAAAAGGUGUUUAUUCUUCAAAUUCUUCACAGACUAAACACCUCACAUGUCAUCUGUUCUUGAUUCGUUUCUCUAAGCAAUAAAUUUUCUUCAAGAUUCCUCAAUUGUGCGGAUUUCUGAUCUGUACAACUCUAGAACCUAAGACUAAGAACGCUUGGUGAAAUUCUUCAAGACUCAUCUGGUCAAAUUCCUCAAACUUGUUCUUUUUGGAAAACCUUCUGAGAACGCAUAUGACCUCUCCAAAUUCCUCGCAACUAUACUAUGUUCACAGGUAAUCAUGUCCGCUGCUGAAUCACUAGGUUCUCAUCAACUUAACUCAUUUGCAGCGUUCCUCGAAGAAAAGUUGCAUACUUCUUCAGAGAAUUCCAUUGUUCAAAUUCCUCAUCUGAAGAAAAUGGCUGACGGUAAGAAGCCACAGAAAGGAGGAAAGAGGCCUGAGGUCAACACUGCAUUUGAAAUCCCUGAGGACAUCUAUGCUGGGUACUACACACCCCCUGAGGAGGAUAAAAAUCAGCGCAAAGUGCAUAUUCAAAAGAAUGAGAGGAGAUGGGCAAGAGAGUGGAGGGAGUACAGAUAUGUGACUCCAAAGUACAUGAAGAAAUUCGCUGUUACUCCUCCAUGCUCAAGACCACCAUUGGCACCUGGCCAAGAAGCAGAUCCCACUAGCAUCAAACGCGGUGAGGAGUUUCCUGAAGAAUGGGCCAAGCGACAGGGCAAGUUGGCCAAACAGGCAAAAGAUGCAGUGAAGAAAUUCAACGAAGAUUCCACUGCUCCUGCUGCUGAGGCCUCUGUAAGGCCGAAGAAAUCCAUGGCAAAGAAGCCUGCGCACAAGCCAAGUGCCUCUUCUUCAAUGCCCUCACAGCCAAUUCCUCAGCUAAGCCCUCACGGCCAAUUCCUCAUGCUGCUUCUGCUCCUCCAAAGUCCUCAGCCGCUCCGACAAAAUCCUCAGCACCUGUGCAUCUUGCCACGUGCCAAAGGACUACAGGCAUCUCUAUUGCCUCAGGAGCUUCAGCUAGUUCCUCAGCUGCACCAAAUUCUUCAACAGGACCCUCUCUGCUGAAGACUAAGACCACUGCUGGACAAGGCUCUCGCCCAAGUCCUCACAAGAAGCAGGUCGCCUUCCAAGUGCCGUCUGAAGAAGACGAAGCUGAUGAUGAAGAACUUGAUGAAAUAAUCAGAGACAGGCAAGUCAGGGCCGCUAGAGCCAAGGGCACAAAUGUGCCUCUGCUUUUGGAUCCAAAGUUGAUCCUCGAUUACAUUGAUCUCUGGCAUAAGGACCCAAACACUCCUAUGCCUGACUUCAAGCUGACUCCUGGUCAAAGUCAUAUGCUGACUGCCUUCAUCCAAGAAGAGAAAUGGAAGUUUGAGAAGGCCAGGCAUGUAACACCCCAGAUGUAAAACUUCCAUAUUUGGUAAUAUAUCCAUGUUGAUCUCCAUCCAAUUCCAUUUGGGGUUCCAUCUUUUGGUCUCAUUUUGUUUUGUUUUGUUGUUCUACUCAUUUCAUUGCCAUGCUUACCUUGUCAUAUUGCAUUUGUGCUUCGUGUCAUAUCCCUUUUAGCCAUCAUAUGUUUGCAUCAUGUGCAUAUCAUGUUGUGUUGUGUUUAUGUCAAUUUGCAUUUCCUUGAUAUGCAUGCAUGAUAUGUUGCUGCAUAUGUUCUAUGUGUGAUCCAUGCAUCACCACCUCUCCUUCUUUUUCUUUCUUUUAGCAAGUGCCAUUUUACCCUCCUCCUUUAAUGUUCAUCUUUGCCUCAAUUUUUCAGUCACCAUGUAAGUUACCUCACUGCCAAGUUUCACCUAUUUUGAAGUUGGUUUGGUUGGGGUAAAAAUGCUUCAAGUUUGAACCUAAUUCAAACCUGGAAUAUUUUUCUUCCUCUAAAAAUGCCCAAACCAUUUUUACUAUUAUGUGCAUAAUACUAGGGCUCCGAAGAUAUUUUUCUAUCUUCCUUAGCCUUCCCAAAUCACUCUGGACUUUUCUUGUUUUUCUUCUGUUUGAGAAAAAUAGGAAAAGAAAAGAUUUUGGCAGCAGAGCAGAGCAGCCAGCAGCAGCACCCCCUGGGCCUCGGCCUCCCAGGCCGGCCCAGCUAGCACCCCGCGCCAGCAGGCCCAGCGCGCCAGCCAGCCCGCUCGUUCACCCCUCCGGGCUUUUUCUCACCCGCGCGCGCAUACCCCCGCUAGCCCCUCUCCACGUGGCCAUCCCGGCCCCGCUCGUCAGCGCCUACCCUGUUCCCCGCACCCACCUUUUCCCUCUCCUCUCACCGUCGCCAUGGGGACCGCGAGCACGAGAGCGCGUGAGCUCGCGCCGCUAACCCUAGCCCCUUUUAAGGCCCCAAUCCUUGUCCCCUGCCUCUCCUAGGGUUUCCCUCGUCCGCCGCCGCCGUUUCCUGGUAGGUAUAGCCACCAGAGUGAUCGCGCCAUCGCCGUCCCGAACGCAUCUGGGAGCGUGUCCUCGUCGCCAGCGUGCUCCCCAUCGACCCCAGCUUCCCAGGACGUGUCCAUCUUCCUCCUCGACGUCGUCUACUUCCCCUAUGUCCACUACUUCGCCGCGGGACGCCAAGACGCCGUGAUCUUCUUCCACUUCUUCCCAGCGGUGCCCGCGAGUGUUCGAUCGCCGUCACCGCCUUCUCCGACCUCCUCUGGGGAAACCAAGCACACCACCAUGCUUGUGGUGAGCGCGCGUUCCUCCCCAUCCUUUUUCCCUCUCAUUAGUGCGCCUUGCAGUAGUUUGCCACGAGCACCCGAACGCGCCACCGUCGGGCCUCGUCUCCGGCGAGUGCACGACCUCUUUAGCUCUUCUGCGCAUGCCCAUCAUGAUCGCCGCGUCUCAUCGGCCGGAUCCACGCGAUAAGUAGCUCGCUCAAGCCUUUCGCCUCGUCGCGUUUGAGCUCGUCGCCGCCGCCUCUGUUCGUCGUCGUCGGCGUCGAGUCCGUCGUCGGCCCGUUCUGCUAGUCACACCCGCGGGUGCGGGAUCCUAUGGCGGCCUCGUUGCGCCCCGCCGCCGCGCCUUUUGGUCGCCGGAGAGGCUCCGUCGAGCUCUCCGCCAUCUCUGCACCCCGGCGAGCACCUCCCCUGCUUCCCCUGUUUACGCCACCACCUUGUGGGACCCAAGUCGGACCCACAAGUCAGCCUCUCAGGGGCCAGGACCCCACCUGUCAUCCCCCUCCACUUUCUCCUUUUUCUUUUGUGUUUAUUUUUUUCCAGCGAAUAUUCCAUUUCUAGCAUAUGGAACCUAUCCAUUUCGGGCAAGUCCAUUUCUGGACAUUUCCAAAUAAGGAAAAUGCCAUUUCUGUCAUAUUCCAUUUAGGGCAGGUUUUAACUUAUUGCACUUGUGAUGAUUUUUCUACAGCAACCCCAACAUAUUAUAUAUUUUUUGGGGUAGAAAAAUCCCACCAAUCCAGUGGUGGCAUUAGUUUCUGCAUUUGAGCAAGUUCACGAACAUGUCAUUUUACAUUGUGUUGUUGUUUUGUCUCGUAUGUGUAUAUUCGUGCAAAUAUGCUAUGUGGUUGUUUUCCACAUGGAUAGCUUCAUUUUCAUGUAUACUUCAUGCUAGAAUUUGUUCCAUGCCAUGACAUUCCUGGUAGUGGGUUAAACAAGCUUGUAAAGAUUCCUUGUUGAAUCUGUUUCUGCUAUGUCUAGCCAUUUCACUGUCAUUGCUCUGGUGAUAUUUUUAUGCCAUGUAUCCAUGUGUCUACAGUGAGAUUCAUGCUUCUUUUGAGUAUGUUCAUUAAGGAUGUUUUGUAGAUAUGGUUAUGCUCUAUCCAUCCAUGCCCCUGUUUGCAAUUAUGGAGUGACCUAGCAUGUCUCAAUCUUGCUCUACUUUUGCUAUAAAAUGUUCCUCGCAGAUUGUUUACAUGUUCAUCAAUUUUGCCAAGGUUAUUGUAGUUGACCCUUGCAUGCUAUGAGCUUAUUCUUGCCACGGUUAGCUUCAUAAACAUGCCAUCUUCCUGUAGGUAUGCUUGUUUUGUCAUGCAUUGCUUUUUGAUGAGUGAAUCGAGCUCACAAAGAUGCCUUCAUAAUUCCGUUAAUGCCAUGCUCUGUUUUCUGCCAAGUCUGAAACCUGUUAACGAAACUUGCUAUGUUUACAUGGGUGCCAUCAUAUCUUCUUAUCCUUUUUGGCUCAUGGUCAGUAAGGGACUUUUGUUCUAUGCAUUUAGUAGAUUCAUGCCAUGCCUUGUUUUGCUAUGUUAAGUUCCCGUAGCAUGUUGAUUGCUGGCCCUGAACAUUGCUACCUGAUGCUGUUUCUGCCAUGUCCAGUAAUUUCACCAAGUCUGUGAAGCUGAUAUCUUUUGCACUUUUGCCAUGCUUGUUUGAACCUGUCAUGGUGUGAUCUAGCCGUAGCUCAGUGUUCAUCUUUUAUCAAGCAUCUCCUUUAGAUUACUGCCAUAUGCUUUUUUGCUAUGGUUGGGUGCUGUAACAUAGUUACUUGAUGUAUUCUAAGUGCUAUCAUGCUGUUAAUCGCAGAAUCGUGUCAUUCUUGUAUUGCUUGCCAUUUGCAAACCGUGCAUCCGUUACCGGUGAUCUUUACAUUGAUUUCGAUCGAAAUCAUCUCAUCUUUCUAGUGGCAUACUUGGUUUGCCAAGUUACUGCCUUGUUCGUUCUUUUUCUUCCGGAGCACGCAUAUGCAUCGCAUACCACAUCUCGCAUAUCAUGCAUGUUUUGCAUCAUGUUGCUUGUGCAUUGCCCGUGAUUGAUUGUGGUUCCAUUGCUUGUGUUCUUGCUGUGGGUAGAGCCGGGAGACGAUUUCGCGAACGAGGAACCUGUUGAGUACGCUUACGAGGAUCAAGCUUUCGACAACUCUGCGAACCUUGCAGGCAAGAUGACCAUACCCUUGAAAUCACUUCUAUCUUUGCUUUGCUAGUUAUUCGUUCUACUGCUAUGCUGCGCUACCUACCACUUGCUAUAUCAUGCCUCCCAUAUUGCCAUGUCAAGCCUCUAACCAUCCUUUCCUAGCAAACCGUUGUUUGGCUAAGUUACCGCUUUUGCUCAGCCCUUCUUAUAGCGUUGCUAGUUGCAGGUGAAGUUGAAGUUGGUUCCAUGUUGGAACAUGGAUAUUUUGGAAUAUUACAAUAUCUCUUAGUUAAUUAAUGCAUCUAUAUAUUUGGUAAGGGUGGAAGGCUCGGCCUUAUGCCUGGUGUUUUGUUCCACUCUUGCCGCCCUAGUUUCCGUCAUACCGGUAUUAUGUUCCUUGAGUUUGCGUUCCUUACGCGGUUGGGUGAUUUAUGGGACCCCCUUGACAGUUCGCCUUGAAUAAAACUCCUCCAGCAAGGCCCAACCUUGGUUUUACCAUUUGCCACCUAAGCCUUUUCCCUUGGGUUUUCGGGAGCCCGAGGGUCAUCUUUAUUUUAACCCCCCGGGCCAGUGCUCCUUUGAGUGUUGGUCCAAACUAGAGCACCGUGCGGGACCGUCCCUUGGCAACUUGAGUUAUGUUGGUACCUGUACGCUUCACUUAUCCGGUGUGCCCUGAGAACGAGAUAUGUGCAGCUCCUAUCGGGAUUUGUCGGCACAGUCGGGUGGUCUUGCUGGUCUUGUUUUACCAUUGUCGAGACGUCUUGUAAACCGGGAUUCCGAGACUGAUCGGGUCUUCCCGGGAGAAGGUUUAUCCUUCGUUGACCAUGAGAGCUUAUGAUGGGCUAAGUUGGGACACCCCUGCAGGGUAUUAUCUUUCGAAAGCCGUGCCCGCGGUUAUGAGGCAGAUGGGAAUUUGUUAAUGUCCGGUUGUAGAGAACUUGACACUUGACUUAAUUAAAAUACAUCAACCGUGUGUGUAGACGUGAUGGUCUCUUUUCGGCGGAGUCCGGGAAGUGAACACGGUUUGAGUUAUGCAUGAACGUAAGUAGUUUUUCAGGAUCACUUCUUGAUCAUUUCUAGCCUCGCGACCGUUGCGUUGCUUCUCUUCUCGCUCUCAUUUGCGUAUGUUAGCCACCAUAUAUGCUUAGUGCUUGCUGCAGCUCCACCUCAUUACACCAUCCUUUGCUAUAAGCUUAAAUAGUCUUGAUCUCGCGGGUGUGAGAUUGCUGAGUCCUCGUGACUCACGGUUUCUACAAAAACAGUUGCAGGUGCCGACGAUACCAGUGCAGAUGAUGCAACCGAGCUCAAGUAGGAGUUCAACGAGGAACGUGGUCAUUACUAUGUUUCUUUUCCUGAUGAUCAGUAGUGGAGCCUAGUUGGGACGAUCGGGGAUCUAGCAUUUGGGGUUAUCUUAUUUUCAUUUGGAUUUGACCGUAGUCGGUCUAUGUGUGGAUUUUGGAUGAUGUAUGAAUUAAUUUAUGUAUUGUGUGAAGUGGCGAUUGUAAGCCAACUCUCGUUAUCCCAUUCUUGUUCAUUACAUGGGAUUGUGUGAAGAUGACCCUUCUUGCGACAAUACCACAAUGCGGUUAUGUCUCUAAGUCGUGCCUCGACACGUGGGAGAUAUAGCCGCAUCGUGGGCUUUACAAGUUGGUAAUCAGAGCCAUCCCCGACUUAGGAGCCCCCUGCUUGAUCGAAUCGCUGGCGUUGUUGAGUCUAGAACAAAAAUGUUUUGAGUCUUAGGAUAAUAUAUAUCGAAGAGUAGGAUUCUUUUUACUCCUCAGUCCCUUCGUCUCUCUGGUGAGGCCUCCUGACGUAGAAGUUUUGACUCUUCUCUCCUCAAAUUUCACUAAAAAAAUUUAGGAUCACGCGGGUAUCUUGGAAUCGUCCCGAUGGUUUUGUGACGAGAACAUUGUUCUUGGUGCCUCCUGACAUUUAGGGGUUGUGGCAGUGUCCCGGGGAGUUGAGCUCCGAGGUGUUGUCGUCACAAUUUUAUCGUUGCAGUUCUGGAAUACCUGAGUUUCGCCGACGUCGAAAAUCUCUUUUAUGCAGUUGUUGGUGAGAUCACCUCGACGCCACCCAGUACUGGGGCGGGAGUUCGGGGGUAUUGCCAUAACUCGUAUAACGGAUGCUUUUCGAAGGUUGAGGUACAUGAUUUCCGAAGGUUUCUUGGUUAUGUGUUGACGGAUCGAUACAGCUGGAUCUAGGGAUUGCUAGUUUGGGUGAUAUAUUUUGUGUCCCCUGUAUCCCCAACACCGGAUUGCAUAACCAGAAAGUUUCGGGAGUUUAUAGGUGGGAUUCAAGUAGCUCUUAGCAUUGCUUCCCGCAGAUAUUUGGUUUGUGAUUGGGUAAUCCUUACCAUUUAUUUGUUCCAGUCAUACCUUUUUUUAUUUUAUUCAUCAAUCUCUUAUCAAGUGGCUUCUCACCUUAAUGGAAGUGUGAUGAUUUACUAUGGAAUUCAUUUGUUCAUCCUCAUUUGAAUGUUUAUUGAGAAGACUAUAUGUUGCAAUUUCUAUCCGUUGAUUCAACUUGUCUAUCUGUCUAUCAAGAUGCUAACGGAUGUCACCCUCUUCAGGAUGGCUCCGCCAACGCGUCAGAAUCCGGAACGCAAUGAAGGGAGUCAGGCGAACCCUCCGCCACCACCUCCGCCUCCGGAGGCAUGGCAAGCUAUCAUGGCAGCCACCAACGCCAAUGCUUAGAUGAUUUUGCAACUCUUGCAAGAACGCACCCAAGGGCAAGGCAAUCAAGGCCAAGGCAACAAUCAGCCUCACUUCGCUACCCUCAACCAGUUCCUCGCAAAUCAGCCGAAGUCUUUUAGCUGCUGUGCCGAGGCCACAGAUGCCGAUGAUUGGCUCGUGGACAUCAACAAGCAUUUUGAAUGUAGCAAUGUCAGGCCUGAGGACUUUGUCAAGUUUGCUUCUUUUCAACUCAAGGAUCAAGCUGUCGAGUGGUAUCAACAAUACAAAGAUUCCAGAGGAGGUCAUGUGAUUACCUGGGAUGAUUUCCGUCGAGACUUCAAAGCUCACCACAUUCCACAAAGUGUUGUUGAGAGCAAGCGUGAGGAGUUCCGCAAUCUCAAGCAAGGCAGCAUGUCCGUGUAUCAAUACAAUACCCAGUUUCAGAAACUCACUCGCUUCGCUGAGCAAGACGUUCCUGAUGAGAAGAGCAUGAUCUAUCAAUUCAGAGGUGGCCUCAGAGAAGAUCUGCAAUUACCUCUCGUGCUUUUUGAGCCGACCAAGUAUGAUGAUUUCUACAAUAUGGCUCUAAAGCAAGAGGCUGCUCGGCUCAAGUGUGAGGCUUCUAAGAAGAGAGUCAGGGAUGCAGUUCAGUCUUCAUCUUCCUCACUAGUGGCUGCUAAGCAACAGAAGUUCUGGUUGCCUCCUCCUCCUCCGUUUCGUCAGCCUUUCCAGCAGAAGAACAAAGGUGGCCAUGGAUCUUCCCACCCACCCAACCCUGGCUAUCAGAACAAGUCUCAGAAUCAAGCUCCAAAGUCGAAUGCUCCUUAUCAUCGUCCACUCUCAGAGGUGACUUGCAACAAGUGUCAGCAGAAAGGUCACUAUGCUAACAAAUGCUUCAACCAAAGGCGCCUUCCGCCUCCUCCUCCUGUGAGAUCUUCCAGCAAUGCAGUGGUCAAGCAUAAUCCCAAGUCUGCAAAGGUGAACAUGAUGAAUGCAGCUCAGGCGGAGGAAUCUACUGAUGUGAUAAUGGGUAAUCUCUCAGUCAAUGAUAUUCCUGCAAAAGUUUUAUUUGAUACUGGUGCAUCGCUUUGUUUCAUGUCAAGAUCGUUCUUUGCAAAAAAUGAUUUUACUUGGUCUUACCUGGAUAAACCUUUGGGUGUUGUUUCUUCGGGGAAGUCAAUGAGAUCCAACUCGAUAGUUCUUGAUGUCUCUAUCAAGAUGGGCGACUAUAAAUUUCUGUCUUCUCCAGUUGUCCUUGGUGACUCGGAUAUUGAUCUAAUUCUCGGAAUGGAUUGGCUUUCUAAGCACAAGGCUCAACUUGAUUGUGCUGCCAGGGAAAUUAAAUUGACACACUCUUCUGAGGAUGUUAUUAUCUAUGCCGCUCGUGAUGAAACCAUUCGGUUGUUUUCUCUCAAUGAGAAGGGCAAGUUGGAUGCUAUUUCUCAAAUUCCAGUCGUUUGUGAGUAUCAAGAUGUCUUUCCAGAAGAGCUUCCGGGUAUGCCUCCUCACCGGCCAGUUGAGUUCGUUAUCGAUCUUGAGCCCGGCACUGAACCCGUUUGCAAGCGUCCUUACAAGCUUGGACCCAAGGUGCUGAAGGAAUUGAAGAAACAGCUCGAUGAACAAGAGCGUCUGGGUCUGAUCAGACCGAGUUCAUCUCCAUGGGGUUGUGGAGUUCUUUUUGUCCAGAAGAAGGAUGGCACGGACCGACUUUGCGUCGACUACCGUCCAUUGAACAAGAAGACAAUCAAGAACAAGUAUCCACUUCCCAACAUCAAUGAACUAUUCGAGCAACUUAAAGGUGCUAAAGUAUUCUCCAAGCUUGACCUUCGUAUGGGUUAUCAUCAGAUUCGUAUUCGGGAAGAAGAUAUUCCCAAGACAGCAUUCAGAACAAGUUUUGGUUCUUAUGAAUAUACUGUCAUGUCUUUCGGCCUUGUCAAUGCUCCUCCAACAUUCUCUCGAAUGAUGAACUUCAUCUUCAACCCCUAUACCAAUGAAUUCGUCCUGGUGUAUCUCGAUGAUAUCUUGGUCUUCUCCAAGAAUAAGAAGGACCAUGCCAAACAUUUGCGAUUGGUGCUCGACAAGCUCAGAGAGUAUCAAUUCUAUGCGAAGUUUUCCAAAUGUGAGUUUUGGCUCGAUGAAGUUCUUUACCUUGGUCAUAUCAUCUCUGCCAAGGGCAUCGCUGUUAAUCCCGAGAAGGUGUCUGCAAUUGUGAAUUGGGAACCUCCUGAGAAUGUCAAGCAGCUUCGUAGUUUUCUUGGUCUUGCAAGCUAUUGCCGAAGAUUCGUUGAGAAUUUCUCUAAGAUUGCAAAGCCUCUUUCCAACCUCCUCCAGAAGCAUGUGAAGUAUGUCUAGACUCCUGAGUGUGACGUUGCUUUCAACACUCUCAAAGAGAAACUUGUCACAGCUCCUGUCUUGACUCCUCCUGACGAAUCCAAGCCAUUCGAAGUUUUCUAUGAUGCUUCUCUUCAAGGUCUCGGUGCUGUGUUAAUGCAAGAGAAGAAAGUUGUGGCCUAUACCUCUCGUCAGUUGAAGCCCAACGAAAAGAACUACCCCACUCACGAUCUUGAGUUGGCGGCAGUUGUCCAUGCAUUAAUAACAUGGAGACAUCUCUUGUUGGGAAGAAAAGUGGACAUAUUCACCGAUCACAAGAGUCUCAAGUACAUCUUCACUCAGCCCAACCUCAACCUCAGGCAAACUCGAUGGGUCGAGAUGAUUCAAGAGUACAAUCCGAGUAUUGAAUACACUCCAGGCAAGGCCAAUGUCAUUGCAGAUGAUUUGAGCAGGAAGGCUUAUUGCAACAGUUUAAUCCUCAAGCCAUUUCAACCGGAUCUUUGUGAAGCUUUCCGCAAACUCAAUCUCCAAGUUGUUCCUCAAGGCUUUCUUGCCAACCUCAUAGUCUCUCCUACUUUGGAAGAUCAAAUUCGUGAGGCACAACUCCUGGAUACCAUGGUGAAGAAGGUGAAACGUGGUAUUGACAAGGGUCUUUCAAAAUACAAGUGCUAUGCAUUGAUGACAGAGACACUUUGUUCUUUGAGGACCGGAUUGUGGUUCCUAAUGGUGAUCUAAGGAAAGUCAUUAUGAACGAGGCACACAAUUCUCUUCUUUCCAUUCAUCCUGGAAGUACGAAGAUGUACCAUGACCUCAAGCAGUCGUAUUGGUGGACUCGAAUGAAGCGAGAAAUCGCUCAAUUCGUGAACGAAUGUGAUGUCUGUUGAAGGGUGAAAGCAGAACACCAACGACCAGCUGGUCUCCUCCAACCUCUUGCUAUCCCAGAAUGGAACUUUGAUCAUAUCGAAAUGGACUUCGUGACUGGUUUUCCUAAGUCCAAGCGCGGAAAUGAUGCUAUCUUCGUUGUCAUCGACAAGCUUACAAAAGUGGCUCAUUUUCUUCCUAUCAAAGAAUCUAUCACAGCAGCUCAGUUGGCAGAGCUAUACACCUCCAGGAUUGUCUCCUUGCACGGCAUUCCACAAUUUAUUUCUUCAGAUCAUGGAAGCAUCUUCACUUCUAAGUUCUGGGUCUCCUUCCAGAAGGCCAUGGGCACCAACAUUCGCUUCAACACAGCUUUCCAUCCUCAAACUAGUGGCCAAGUCGAGCGAGUCAAUCAAAUCCUUGAAGAUAUGCUCAGGGCUUGUGUCAUUUCCUUUGGCAUGAAGUGGGAAGAUUGUCUUCCAUAUGCCGAAUUCUCCUACAACAACAGCUUUCAAGCGAGUUCGGGCAAGGCCCCAUUCGAGAUUCUCUAUGGCAGAAAGUGCCGUACUCCUCUCAAUUGGUCAGAGACUGGUGAACGCCAACUUCUUGGCAAUGAAUUAAUCACAGAGGCUGAAGAAAUGUGUAAAGUCAUCCGUGAAAAUCUCAAAGCCGCGCAAUCGUGCCAGAAGAGUUACUAUGAUAGCAAGCACCGUGAUGUGGCUUUCGAGAUCGGAGACCAUGUCUACCUCCGCGUCUCUCCAAUGAAAGGCACUCGUCGCUUCGGUAUCGAAGGGAAGCUUGCCCCUAGAUACGUGGGUCCUUUCAAGAUCAUUGGCAAAAGAGGUGACCUCGCCUAUCAACUUGAGCUUCCCUCCAACUUCGCGAACGUGCACGAUGUGUUCCACGUGUCACAGCUUCGCAAGUGCUUCAAGACUCCUAAGCGCACCAUCAACUUCGAAGAGAUUGACCUCCAAGAAGAUCUGUCUUAUCAUGAGCACCCCGUUGCUAUUCUUGAAGAAACUGAGCGUAAGACUCGCAACAAGUCAAUCAAAUUCCUGAAAGUGAAGUGGUCGCAUCAUUCCGACCGAGAAGCCACCUGGGAGCGCGAGGACCACCUCCGUUCCGAAUAUCCGGAGUUCUUUCAGUCCUAGAUCUCGGGACGAGAUCCUCUUGUAGUGGUGGAGUGUUGUAACACCCCAGAUGUAAAACUUCCAUAUUUGGUAAUAUAUCCAUGUUGAUCUCCAUCCAAUUCCAUUUGGGGUUCCAUCUUUUUGUCUCAUUUUGUUUUGUUUUGUUGUUCUACUCAUUUCAUUGCCAUGCUUACCUUGUCAUAUUGCAUUUGUGCUUCGUGUCAUAUCCCUUUUAGCCAUCAUAUGUUUGCAUCAUGUGCAUAUCAUGUUGUGUUGUUUUUAUGUCAAUUUGCAUUUCCUUGAUAUGCAUGCAUGAUAUGUUGCUGCAUAUGUUCAAUGUGUGAUCCAUGCAUCACCACCUCUCCUUCUUUUUCUUUCUUUUAGCAAGUGCCAUUUUACCCUCCUCCUUUAAUGUUCAUCUUUGCCUCAAUUUUUAAGUCACCAUGUAAGUUACCUCACUGCCAAGUUUCACCUAUUUUGAAGUUGGUUUGGUUGGGGUAAAAAUGCUUCAAGUUUGAACCUAAUUCAAACCUGGAAUAUUUUUCUUCCUCUAAAAAUGCCCAAACCAUUUUUACUAUUAUGUGCAUAAUACUAGGGCUCCGAAGAUAUUUUUAUAUCUUCCUUAGCCAUCCCAAAUCACUCUGGACUUCUCUUAUUUUUCUUCUGUUUGAGAAAAAUAGGAAAAGAAAAGAUUUUGGCAGCAAAGCAGAGCAGCCAGCAGCAGCACCCCCCUCGGCCUCGGCCUCCCAGGCCGGCCCAGCUAGCACCCCGCGCCAGCAGGCCCAGCGCGCCAGCCAGCCCGCUCGUUCACCCCUCCGGGCUUUUUCUCACCCGCGCGCGCGCAUACUCCCGCUAGCCCCUCUCCACGUGGCCAUCCCGGCCCCGCUCGUCAGCGCCUACCCUGUUCCCCGCACCCACCUUUUCCCUCUCCUCUCGCCGUCGCCAUGGGGACCGCGAGCACGAGAGCGUGUGAGCUCGCGCCGCUAACCCUAGCCCCUUUUAAGGCCCCAAUCCUUGUCCCCUGCCUCUCCUAGGGUUUCCCUCGUCCGCCGCUGCCGUUUCCUGGUAGGUAUAGCCACCAGAGUGAUCGCGCCAUCGCCGUCCCGAACGCAUCUGGGAGCGCGUCCUCGUCGCCGGCGUGCUCCCCGUCGACCCCAGCUUCCCAGGACGUGUCCAUCUUCCUCCUCGACGUCGUCUACUUCCCCUACGUCCACUACUUCGCCGCGGGACGCCAAGACGCUGUGAUCUUCUUCCACUUCUUCCCAGCGGUGCCCGCGAGUGUUCGAUCGCCGUCACCGCCUUCUCCGACCUCCUCUUGGGAAACCAAGCACACCACCGUGCUUGUGGUGAGCGCGCGUUCCUCCCCAUCCUUUUUCCCUCUCAUUAGUGCGCCUUGCAGUAGUUUGCCACGAGCACCCGAACGCGCCGCCGUCGGGCCUCGUCUCCGGCGAGUGCACGACCUCUUUAGCUCUUCUGCGCAUGCCCAUCAUGAUCGCCGCGUCUCAUCGGUCGGAUCCACGCGAUCAGUAGCUCGCUCAAGCCUUUCGCCUCUGUGACGCCCCCGAUUUGACCGUACACUAAUCAUGCACGCAAAUGUGUACGACCAAGAUCAGGGACUCACGGGAAGAUAUCACAACACAACUCUAAAACAUAAAUAAGUCAUACAAGCAUCAUAAUACAAGCCAGGGGCCUCGAGGGCUCGAAUACAAGUGCUCGAUCACAGACGAGUCAGCGGAAGCAACAAUAUCUGAGUACAGACAUAAGUUAAACAAGUUUUGCCUUAAGAAGGCUAGCACAAAAGUAGCAACGAUCGAAGAGGCAAGGCCUCCUGCCUGGGACCUCCUAACUACUCCUGGUCGUCGUCAGCGGCCUGCACGUAGUAGUAGGCACCUCCAGUGCCGUGGGAGUCGUCGUCGACGGUGGCGUCUGGCUCCUGGACUCCAACAUCUGGUUGCGACAACCAGAUAGAAAGGAAAGGGGGAAAAAGAGGGAGAGAAGCAACCGUGAGUACUCAUCCAAAGUACUCGCAAGCAAGGAGCUACACUACAUAUGCAUGGGUAUAUGUGUAAAGGGGCAUAUCAGUGGACUGAACUGCAGAAUGCCAGAAUUAAAAGGGGGAUAGCUAGUCCUGUCGAAGACUACGCUUCUGGUCAUCUCCAUCUUGCAGCAUAUAGAAGAGAAUAGAGUGAAGUCCUCCAAGUAGCAUCGCAUAGCAUAAUCCUACCCGGCAAUCCCCUCCUCGUCGCCCUGUUAGAGAGCGAUCACCGGGUUGUAUCUGGCACUUGGAAGGGUGUAUUUUAUUCAGUAUCCAGUUCUAGUUGUCAUAAGCUCAAGGAACAACUCCGGGUCGUCCUUUUACCGAGGGACACGGCUAUUCGAAUAGAUAAACUUCCCUGCAGGGGUGCACCACAUAACCCAACACGCUCGAUCCCAAUUGGCCGGACACACUUUUCUGGGUCAUGCCCGGCCUCGUAAGAUCAACGCGUCGCAGCCCCACCUAAGCACAACAGAGCGGUCAGCACGCCGGUCUAAUCCUAAGCGCGCAGGGGUCUGGGCCCAUCGCCCUAUGCACACCUGCACGUUGCGAACGCGGCCGCGAGCAGACCUAGCAACCCACACGAUCACGGCGGUUACGUCAAAGCGGUCCAACACGGCGCGCGCCACACAGUCGCUGACGUCACGAAGGCUUCGGCUGAUACCACGACGCCGGGAUACCCAUAACUACUCCCGCGUAGAUGGCUAGUGCGUAUAGACCAAAUGGCCAGACUCAGAUCAAAUACCAAGAUCUCGUUAAGCGUGUUAAGUAUCCGCGAACGCCGACCAGGGCCAGGCCCACCUCUUACCUAGGCGGUCUCAACCUGCCCUGUCGCUCCGCCACAAAGAUCCACUUGCGGGUACUCCUACGAGCCGACCCGACUUUAGUCAUCACAUGUGUCAUGUAUAUAGUAUAUAAGUAUAUACCCGCGAUCACCGCCCAGGUGAUCACGGCCCGAUAGUGUAGCACAGCAGACGGACAAGGAUGUAGGGCCACUGAUGGAAAUCUAGCAUCCUAUACUAAGCAUGUAGGAUUGCAGGUAAAGGUAUCAACAGUAGUAGCAAGGAUAGGCUAUGCAUCAGAAUAGGAUAUCGAAAAGCAGUAACAUGCUACACUACUCUAAUGCAAGCAGUAUAGAGGAGAGUAGGCGAUAUCUGGUGAUCAAGGGGGGGCUUGCCUGGUUGCUCUGGCAAGUAGGAGGGGUCGUCGACUCCGUAGUCGAACUGGGCAGCAGCAGUGUCGGUCUCGUAGUCUACCGGAGAGAAGAGGGGGAAGAAACAGUAAAUACAAUGCAAACACAAGCAUGACGAUGCGUGACAUGACAGUGAGCGGUGCUAGGGGUGUCCUAACGCGACAGUAGGUGGUACCGGUGAAGGGGGGGAACAUCCGGGAGAGUAUUCCCGAUGUUUUGCGUUUUCGGACAGAAGGACCGGAGGGGGAAAGUUGCGAGUUCGAUAGGUUAGGGAGGUGUGGUGGACGCACGGACUGCGUAUCCGGAUUCGUCUCGUCGUUCUGAGCAACUUUCAUAUAGAAAACAUUUUCAUCCGAGUUACGGUUUAAAAGAUAUGAAUUUUCAAAGUUUAUUUGAAUUUCUGGAAUUAUUUAAUUAACAGAAAAAGGGAUAUGACGUCAGCAUGACGUAUGAGUGACGUCAGCGGUCAACAGUCCGGGUUGACUGGUCAAACUGACACGGGGGACCCACCUGUCAUAGACAGUGGGUUAACAGAGGAUUAAACUAAUUAACUUUUAGUUAAUUAACUAAUGGGCCCACCUGUCAGUGAGAGAUUAUUUAAACUAAUUAUUUUUAUUUAUAAAACAUUUUCUUUUUCUUUUCUUUUUUUUUUAAAUUUUGCGGCGGGGCCCGCAUGUCAGUGACUGGGCCUGCCCAGUCAGCAGUUGACUGGGUCAACCCAGUCAACUGGAGCCCGUGGGGGCCACUGGCAGUGACCCAGGGGGUGGCCCCAGGUGUGCCACGUCGGCGGCCGGCGCCGGCGCAACUCCGGCGACCAAAACCGCGGCGGUCCCUCGCCGGAGUUGGCCGGAAUUGCGCUAGGGGGCUCGGGGAGGAACGGGGCUAGGCCCAUUCGAAAGAACUCGCAGCGCCGCAUCCAGGGGUGGCCGGGGCUUCGCCGGACUCGGCCGGAAUCGGCGCCGGCGAGCGGCGGAGGCGGCGGCGCGCACGGGUGCCUGACGGAAACAGGGCUACGGCAGGCGGUCGAGCAAGCGGAGGGGCUGGGGAGCUUCUACGUGCGGUGGGGAGCGCUGUGAGCUUGAGCCCGUGACCAUUUGGUGACCGGAGACCCGCCGGCGGCGAGCUCCGCGGCGCGGCGUUCGGGCGCGCGUGGGGGAAAAGCUAGGGAGCGUGGGCGAGCUAGCGGAGUGGGGGAGGAGGUAGAGGAGCUCACCGCGUGGCGCAAGAAAGGCCCGUGGGUGCUUAGGAGCAGCAGGUCGGCGCCGGGGAAGAAGGGGGUCACCGGCGUCCGAGGUUGAAGGCGAGCUCGGGGAGGCCGUUGCGGUGGCUCCGAGCUUCGACGGAGAGGCGGAGGGGGUGUAGUCGAGGGCGGCGACGUCGUACGACACGGCGAGGUGGCGAGUGGGGCACGGUGGCCGCGUGAACGACGGGAACGGCGGCGAGCGCGUCGGGCGUGGGGCAGAGGAGAGCGGCGCGGAUCCGGGGGAGGGAAGAGGGAGGCGCGGGGCCGAGAGGGAGAGCGGGGUGAGUGGGAGGGAGGCCCGAGGAGGCGGGGGAGCUGGCGACCUUAUCCCCUCCAGCGUCGGUGCCGGCGAGGGGGUCGGGCGGCAGCGCGCCCCUGUUCCGACCCGGUCGGGGGAACAGGGAAGGGGCGAGGGAGGAGGUGGGCUGGGCCGGGGGCGCGGCUGCGGCCCAGUUUGGGCCGGGGGGGCAGUGGGGGGGAAGCGGGCCUUUUUCCCCUUUUUUUUCUUUUUCUCUGCCUGGGUUCUGUUUUCUGUUUUCUCUUUAUUUGCUUAUUCCCUUUUCUGUUUUAUUUCAUUUAAAAGUAUUUAGACAUUUUAUAAAAAUGUGUUUUCUCCACCAUAGUUACCAGUGUAUUAUUUAGCACCCACUGAACAUUUUUGUUUGAAUUUUUGAAAACUUUUAUUUUUCACUUUAAUUAUAUUUGAAGUUUGAACUAGGAGUUUGACAGGGGUGGGGUUCCAAUGUGAUCAAGCCCUUUUUAGCAACAUGAUUAGCUUAAUCACAGGGAGUUACUGUAGCAUGAUUCUCAGGGUGUUACAGCCUCCUCGCGUUUGAGCUCGCCGCCGCCGCCUCUGUUCGUCGUCGCCGGCGUCGAGUCUGUCGUCGGCCCGUUCUGCUAGUCACACCCGCGGGUGCGGGAUCCUAUGGCGGCCUCGUUGCGCCCCGCCGCCGCGCCUUUUGGUCGCCGGAGAGGCUCCGUCGAGCUCUCCGCCGUCUCUGCACCCCGGCGAGCACCUCCCCUGCUUCCCCUGUUUACGCCACCACCUUGUGGGACCCAAGUCGGACCCACAAGUCAGCCUCUCAGGGGCCAGGACCCCACCUGUCACCCCCCCUCCACUUUCUCCUUUUUCUUUUGUGUUUAUUUUUUUCCAGCGAAUAUUCCAUUUCUAGCAUAUGGAAUCUAUCCAUUUCGGGCAAGUCCAUUUCUGGACGUUUCCAAAUAAGGAAAAUGCCAUUUCUGUCAUAUUCCAUUUAGGGCAGGUUUUAACUUAUUGCACUUGUGAUGAUUUUUCUACAGCAACCCCAACAUAUUAUAUAUUUUUUGGGGUAGAAAAAUCCCACCAAUCCAGUGGUGGCAUUAGUUUCUGCAUUUGAGCAAGUCACGAACAUGUCAUUUUACAUUGUGUUGUUGUUUUGUCCGUAUGUGUAUAUUCGUGCGAAUAUGCUAUGUGGUUGUUUUGCACAUGGAUAGCUUCAUUUUCAUGUAUACUUCAUGCUAGAAUUUGUUCCAUGCCAUGACAUUCCUGGUAGUGGGUUAAACAAGCUUGUAAAGAUUCCUUGUUGAAUCUGUUUCUGCUAUGUCUAGCCAUUUCACUGUCAUUGCUCUGGUGAUAUUUUUAUGCGAUGUAUCCAUGUGUCUACAGUGAGAUUCAUGCUUCUUUUGAGUAUGUUCAUUAAGGAUGUAUUGUAGAUAUGGUUAUGCUCUAUCCAUCCAUGCCCCUGUUUGCAAUUAUGGAGUGACCUAGCAUGUCUCAAUAUUGCUCUACUUUUGCUAUAAAAUGUUCCUGGCAGAUUGUUUACAUGUUCAUGAAUUUUGCCAAGGUUGUUGUAGUUGAUCCUUACAUGCUAUGAGCUUAUUCUUGCCAUGGUUAGCUUCAUAAACAUGCCAUCUUCCUGUAGGUAUGCUUGUUUUGUCAUGCAUUGCUUUGUGAUGAGUGAAUCGAGCUCAUAAAGAUGCCUUCAUAAUUCUGUUAAUGCCAUGCUCUGUUUUCUGCCAAGUCUGAAACCUGUUAACGAAACUUGCUAUGUUUACAUGGGUGCCAUCAUAUCUUCUGAUGCUUUUUGGCUCAUGGUCUGUAAGGGACUUUUGUUCUAUGCAUUUACUAGAUUCAUGCCAUGCCUUGUUUUGCUAUGUUAAGUUCCUGUAGCAUGUUGAUUGCUGGCCCUGAACAUUGCUACCUGAUGCUGUUUUUGCCAUGUCCAGUAAUUUCACCAAGUCUGUGAAGCUGAUAUCUUUUGCACUUUUGCCAUGCUUGUUUGAACCUGUUAUGGUGUGAUCUAGCCAUAGCUCAGUGUUCAUCUUUUGUCAAGCAUCUCCUGUAGAUUACUGCCAUAUGCUUUGUUGCUAUGUUGGGGUGCUGUAGCAUAGUUACUUGAUGUAUUCUAAGUGCUAUCAUGCUGUUACUUGAUGUAUUCUAAGUGCUAUCAUGCUAUGUUGGGGUGCUGUAGCAUAGUUCUUGUAUUGCUUGCCAUUUGCAAACCGUCCAUCCGUUUCCGGUGAUCUUUAUAUCGAUUUCGACCGAAAUCAUCUCAUCUUUCCAGUGGCAUACUUGGUUUGCCAAGUUACUGCCUUGUUCAUUCUUUUUCUUCCGGAGCACGCAUAUGCAUCGCAUACCACAUCUCGCAUAUCCUGCAUGUUUUGCAUCAUGUUGCUUGUGCAUUGCCCAUGAUUGAUUGUGGUUCCGUUGCUUGUAUUCUUGCUGCGGGUAGAGCCCGGAGACGAGUUCGCGAACGAGGAACCUAUUGAGUACGCUUACGAGGAUCAAGCUUUCGACAACUCUGCGAACCUUGCAGGCAAGAUGACCAUACCCUCGAAAUCACUUCUAUCUUUGCUUUGCUAGUUAUUCGUUCUACUGCUAUGCUGCGCUACCUACCACUUGCUAUAUCAUGCCUCCCAUAUUGCCAUGUCAAGCCUUUAACCAUCCUUUCCUAGCAAACCAUUGUUUGGCUAAGUUACCGCUUUUGCUCAGCCCUUCUUAUAGCGUUGCUAGUUGCAGGUGAAGUUGAAGUUGGUUCCAUGUUGGAACAUGGAUAUUUUGGAAUAUCACAAUAUCUCUUAUUUAAUUAAUGCAUCUAUAUAUUUGGUAAAGGGUGGAAGGCUCGGCCUUUUCCUGGUGUUUUGUUCCACUCUUGCCGCCCUAGUUUCCGUCAUACCGGUAUUAUGUUCCUUGAGUUUGUGUUCCUUACGCGGUUGGGUGAUUUAUGGGACCCCCUUGAUAGUUCGCCUUGAAUAAAACUCCUCCAGCAAGGCCCAACCUUGGUUUUACCAUUUGCCACCUAAGCCUUUUCCCUUGGGUUUUCGCGAGCCCGAGGGUCAUCUUUAUUUUAACCCCCCGGGCCAGUGCUCCUCUGAGUGUUGGUCCAAACUAGAGCACCGUGCGGGACCGUCCCUUGGCAACUUGGGUUAUGUUGGUACCUGUACGCUUCGCUUAUCUAGUGUGCCCUGAGAACGAGAUAUGUGCAGCUCCUAUUGGGAUUUGUCGGCACAGUCGGGUGGUCUUGCUGGUCUUGUUUUACCAUUGUCGAGAUGUCUUGUAAACCGGGAUUCCGAGACUGAUCGGGUCUUCCCGGGAGAAGGUUUAUCCUUCAUUGACCGUGAGAGCUUAUGAUGGGCUAAGUUGGGACACCCCUGUAGGGUAUUAUCUUUCGAAAGCCGUGCCCGCGGUUAUGAGGCAGAUGGGAAUUUGUUAAUGUCCGGUUGUAGAGAACUUGACACUUGACUUAAUUAAAAUACAUCAACCGUGUGUGUAGCCGUGAUGGUCUCUUUUCGGCGGAGUCCGGGAAGUGAACACGGUUUGAGUUAUGCAUGAACGUAAGUAGUUUUUCAGGAUCACUUCUUGAUCAUUUCUAGCCUCGCAACCGUUGUGUUGCUUCUCUUCUCGCUCUCAUUUGCGUAUGUUAGCCACCAUAUAUGCUUAGUGCUUGCUGCAGCUCCACCUCAUUACACCAUCCUUUGCUAUAAGCUUAAAUAGUCUUGAUCUCGCGGGUGUGAGAUUGCUGAGUCCUCGUGACUCACAGUUUCUACAAAAACAGUUGCAUGUGCCAACGAUACCAGUGCAGAUGAUGCAACCGAGCUCAAGUGGGAGUUCGACGAGGAACGUGGUCGUUACUAUGUUUCUUUUCCUGAUGAUCAGUAGUGGAGCCCAGUUGGGACAAUCGGGGAUCUAGCAUUUGGGGUUAUCUUAUUUUCAUUUGGAUUUGACCGUAGUCGGUCUAUGUGUGGAUUUUGGAUGAUGUAUGAAUUAAUUUAUGUAUUGUGUGAAGUGGCGAUUGUAAGCCAACUCUCGUUAUCCCAUUCUUGUUCAUUACAUGGGAUUGUGUGAAGAUGACCCCUCUUGCGACAAUACCACAAUGCGGUUAUGCCUCUAAGUCGUGCCUCGACACGUGGGAGAUAUAGCCGCAUCGUGGGCUUUACAAGGCAGCUCAAGAAAUCACAGUAUAGGAAGGAGAAAUUCCUGAAGAACAACGUUGUCUCUAUGACAACUGAUGAACUUGUGAAGAUCCAGUCUGAAAUCAAAGUCCUCAACGUGUUGGGGAUCGUAGCAGAAAUCAAAAAAAUUCUACGCUUCACCAAGAUCCAUCUAUGGAGUUUACUAGCAACGAGAAGGAAGGAGUGCAUCUACAUACCCUUGUAGAUCGCGAGCGGAAGCGUUCAAGUGAACGGGGUUGAUGGAGUCGUACUCGUCGUGAUCCAAAUCACCGAUGACCGAGCGCCGAACGGACGGCACCUCCGCGUUCAACACACGUACGGAGCAGCGACGUCUCCUCCUUCUUGAUCCAGCAAGGGGGAAGGAGAGGUUGAUGGAGAUCCAGCAGCACGACGGCGUGGUGGUGGAAGUAGCGGGGAUCCCGGCAGGGCUUCGCCAAGCGCAAGCGGGAGGGAGAGGUGUCACGGGAGGGAGAGGGAGGCGCCAGGGGCUAGGGUACUGCUGCCCUCCCUCCCCCCACUAUAUAUAGGCCCCCUGGGGGGGCGCCGACCCUGGGAUCCCUUCUACAUGGGGGGCGGCGGCCAAGGGGGGAAACUUGCCCCCCAAGCCAGGUGGGGCGCCCCCCACCCCCAGGGUUUCUAACCCUAGGCGCAGGGGGAGGCCCAUGGGGGGCGCACCAGCCCACCAGGGGCUAGUUCCCCUCCCACUUCAGCCCAUGGGGCCCUCCGGGAUAGGUGGCCCCACCCGAUGGACCCCCGGGACCCUUCCGGUUGUCCCGGUACAAUACCGAUAACCCCUGAAACUUUCCCGGUGGCCGAAACUGGACUUCCUAUAUAUAAUUCUUCACCUCCGGACCAUUCCGGAACUCCUCGUGACGUCUGGGAUCUCAUCCGGGACUCCGAACAACUUUCGGGUUUCCGCAUACUAGUAUCUCUACAACCCUAGCGUCACCGAACCUUAAGUGUGUAGACCCUACGGGUUCGGGAGACAUGCAGACAUGACCGAGACGACUCUCCGGUCAAUAACCAACAGCGGGAUCUGGAUACCCAUGUUGGCUCCUACAUGUUCCUCGAUGAUCUCAUCGGAUGAACCACGAUAUCGAGGAUUCAAUCAAUCCCGUAUGCAAUUCCCUUUGUCAAUCGGUACGUUACUUGCCCGAGAUUCGAUCGUCGGUAUCCCAAUACCUUGUUCAAUCUCGUUACCGGCAAGUCACUUUACUCAUACCGUAAUGCAUGAUCCCGUGACUAACUCCUUAGUCACAUUGAGCUCAUUAUGAUGAUGCAUUACCGAGUGGGCCCAGAAAUACCUCUUCGUCAUAUGGAGUGACAAAUCCCAGUCUCGAUCCGUGUCAACCCAACAGACACUUUCAGAGAUACCUGUAGUGUACCUUUAUAGUCACCCAGUUACGUUGUGACAUUUGGCACACCCAAAGCACUCCUACGGCAUCCGGGAGUUACACGAUCUCAUGGUCUAAGGAAAUGAUACUUGACAUUGGAAAAGCUCUAGCAAACGAACUACACGAUCUUUGUGCUAUGCUUAGGAUUGGGUCUUGUCCAUCACAUCAUUCUCCUAAUGAUGUGAUCCCGUUAUCAAUGACAUCCAAUGUCCAUAGUUAGGAAACCAUGACUAUCUGUUGAUCAACGAGCUAGUCAACUAGAGGCUUACUAGGGACAUGUUGUGGUCUAUGUAUUCACACAUGUAUUAUGAUUUCCGGAUAACACAAUUAUAGCAUGAACAAUAGACAAUUUAUCAUGAACAAGGAAAUAUAAUAAUAACCAUUUUAUUAUUGCCUCUAGGGCAUAUUUCCAACACAACGAUGAUUUCAAUGCUUACUAUGCUGAUUGGAAAGGAGCCAAGGUCAGGUUUGUCAAACUAACAAAGAUGUUCACCUCAAAUGUUGCAGCCCCAUCACAACAAGAAAUUCCUCAGGCUGAAGCAUCUGCUCAGCCAACUGAAGAACAUGCCAGCACCGCUGAUGACAAUCAGGCUGCUGAAGAAAAUGUGAGUUCCAUGGCUAAUGACUACAUUCCAGCCGCUGAUGAAACUGCCAGGGCACCCACUAGUGGUGAGCCUGAAGAAAAUCAACCACAUUCCUCUGCUCCUCCUACGCCUACACCAACUCCAAUCCUUCCAUCUGCAUCAGAUAUGAAGAAGACCAAGGCUGCAGAGCGUGCAGCAGUGAAGAAAAGGAAAGCAUCAGCUCCUUCAGAUUCUUCAGCACCGAAGAGGAUGAAGAAAUUGACAAGCUCAUUUGCUAAUCCAAUUGAUGUUGUUCCAGUUUCCUCCAUGCCAUCAAAGGAAAUCAUCCCUUUUGAUGAAGAAUAUGUGAUCCCUAGCGAAUCUGAUGAAGAAAAUCCUUCUGCUGCUUCGUCAGAGCAGAUGGAUGAAGAAAUUGAAGUGGAUAAAAUCCCUUCAACCCCCACAGUUUCCUUGCCUAUGCCUCAGUUUACUGCUGAAGAGGCUGGCGUUGAAGAAAUUGAAGAAGAAGAUGUGGACAUUGACUGUACCACACCAGUGAUGAAUGAUGACUUUUGGGAAAGUCAGCACCCCAAUUCUCCACUCUUCACUCCACUCCAGCAAAUUCCUCAAUCCCCAGCCACUACAGUUCAAAUGGGAUCUGAUGAAGCUCAUGAAGACAUUCCAGCCGCUAGUGCUGAAGAAAAUGAAAAUGAAGAUUUGAAGAACCAGGCUGCCACUGAAGAGGAACCAAAAAUUCCUCAGCCUGAAGAACCUGAGAUUGCGAUUCCUGUGGUCGUCAUGCAACUGACUGACACUCCUCUGCCCAAGCCAAAGGAUCCAUUCUCAAGGAAGCAAAAAUUCAAGGCUGAUGAUUUCUUCGGCGAGCACAUAUUCUUCACUGAUUACAACCCUUAUGACUCUGCUCGCAUAAGGAAGAGGCGUUUCUGGACUGCCAGCCAGGCAAAUUUCUAUUCCUCAGUGCUGUUCAACAAAGACAAAGUCUUCGAUCAUGAGCACAUUCCUCACGUGGAUAUGGAAUCUCUGCCAUGCUUCGGGCCAGUCCUCAGUGUUCUCUACGACGCUGCACUGUUAAAUUUCUGCACUGACAUAUGUGAUUGGAAUGAAGAGCUAAUUCUUCAAUUUUAUGCAACUCUGCACAUCACCGGCAACUCUGAAGACGUGAAUUCAUGGGUGCUGGACUGGAUGUCUGAAAACACUCACUACAAAGCACCAGCUACUGAAUUGCUUCAUGCUUUGCCUCUCAGUCCGCCCCUUGAAGGUGCUUGUUGCAUCUACAAUGAACCUAAGCUUACCGAUCACUAUAUGCAAGUGCUGAUGAAGCCUUUGAAGCCAGGUCAGGCCCCAAGAACAAAAUUCCUUGUGAAGGAAUUGCGGUAUGUGCCUCGGACUGUCUAUCGCAUUCUGACGAAGACAUUGAGUCCUAUCAAGGGCCACGACUCGAAUGAAGAAGUCAUUGGCAUCAUGAAGAAUCUGCUUUUCAAUAUCAUUCAUGGCGUUCCCGUCAACUUCCAUGAUUUCUUGAUGAGGACUCUAGCCAAUGUCGCAAUGUCACCAUUUGAGUUGAAGCCUUAUGCACCGUGGAUUAUGAGAUUCAUCAGAACAAGGUCUUGACUCAACUACAAAGCUGAUACACUGAACCAUUGCAACUACUUGCACCUGAUUGAAGUCCUCAAACAGACAUUUUCCUCAGCUGAUGAAAAGGGCAAGGCUACGGCUGUAAUUGAUGAAGGCAUUCGUCCAUUGGAUGGUCAAUUUCGCAAGGCUGCUCCACCAAUGAUGACUCUGCCACCCAUUACUCUGCCGCCAAUGCACCCAAGCAAAAUCCUCAAGGCACAGCACCCAGGGUGAUGACUGACCGUGAGCUUCUCCUCGGUCUUCACCAGAAGGUUGAUCGCAAUCAUAAAUGGGUCAAACGUCAGUUUGGUUCAAUUCUUCACAACAUGACUGCUACCCACAAUGCAGUGAAGAAAAACCACUACUACCUUCAUGAAACCCUCAACCGCACCUGGGCUGUUCUGUCGCACAUAUAUGGUGAAGAAGAUCUGAAGAAAAUGGGUCUCAAGGAAGAUCUCGACUGGGCUGCACCUCCUCCGAAGAAGUACAAGAAGGUCAAAGUUCCUUCCUUGGUCGCCAGCUCCUAUUCUUCAUCAUGUGACACUGAUGAACAUGAGGACUUGGACGACACUGCGGUAGGCCCUACUACAACAAACGACCCCGACAACGCUGAUGCUCCUUCAUCAACUUGAUAUUCUUCAGGGGCGUUAGUCCUCAUUUUCGAACCUUUUGGUCAUUCGAUGACAAAGGGGGAGAAAUUUGAGUUAGUCUUCAAGCGGGUCUAUUAUAUGGGCAUUUUUUCCUAAGUUAAAACUCUCGUUCUUCUGAUGACUUUGUUGGAUCAAGUUGUAAACUUAAACUCUAUGGUGGCCUGAUACUUUUGCUGUUUCUUCUACAUGCUUAUUCCUCGUUAAUGUCAUUGCACGCAUGCUGAAUUACAUCAGUCACCAUAUUUCAUCAUGCAUUUCAAAUUCUUCAUAUAUUAUGUCAAAUGUGUGUAUGAAUUACAAGAUAUAGGGGGAGAUCUCCAUGAUUCACUCUUCAAGUGUGCAUUACUUCAAAAGCAAAUUCCUCACUAUGCACAUCUUCAGGGGGAGUUCUUCUAUAUCUUGCAAUCAAAUUCCUCAAUAUCAGUAUUUACACUUCAUAUGUUUAUCCCCGUUGAAAACUUAACCUAUAUUGUCAUCAAUCACCAAAAAGGGGGAGAUUGUAAGUGCAUCUAGUGCCCCUUAGUGAUUUUGGUGUAUUGAAGACUUAUAGGUUAAGGGACUAAUGUGUUUAUGAGUGUACACAGGUCUAUAAGUCUAUGAGGAGUUUGAUAUUUACAGAGAAAGUCGACCCCUAAAAAUGAAGUUCUUCGACUGAAGACUUUGGAUUUCUGAAGACUUUCUGAAGACUUUGAAAGUGAAGAAAUUGGUGUGACCUUGAAGACUUGGUAUUCAUUGAGGAACAUGAAGCGUGAAGACUUUUGUUUACGUAGUUUCAUUUUCUCUUUCUUGAGUCAUAGGAAACACCGUACUGUUAAAGGGGGUCGAGGAAAUACUAAGGAAAAAUUUCCAUGUGAUGCUCAACUCAAAAUCCUACACCUACCAAUCCCUUCGAGUGAAGCCAUUGGAAAUCUCAUAUAGUUCAGUCAUAUUCUUCAGUGACAGAGACGAAGUUCUUCUGGUCUCUGAGGAAUUUGUUCUGACUGAGGAGUUAGGAAUUCGCCAGUGUGGAUUGCCUACACAGUGAGGAACAUGAUAGCCCUAAGGAAUUUGAUACUCAAAUUUCCGACCGUUGCUGUGCUAUACGCCAGCUGUCCCAAAAUAUCUACCCACCUAACGGUCAUAUCAUUUAAGGGCAUUUAUGUCUUAUCAUGCCGGGCUGCUCCCUAGGCUAUAAAUAGCCGCCCCCUACAACCACUAGCUGGUUGGCUGCUCUGAGAGAAACUGACACUUGUCAUUUGAGAGCAUCCCAUCCUUUGAGGACUUUGAGCGAAAAUCAUCAAGUGAGGAAAACUCAAACCCAAACACCCACAAACCUAAAGUGAUUGAGCAUCACUGAAGAGAUUGAUCCUGCAUGGAUCCGACGCUUGUUACCUUUGAAGACUGUGCUUCUUCCAUACGGUUAGGCGUCAUGGUCUAGAGCAUCCAAGAGGAAAUUGUGGAUCGCCGAGUGACCGAGUUUGUGAAGGUUCGGAAGUCACCCGAAGACUUACCACGAGUGAUUGGGCGAGGUCUGUGUGACCUUAGCUCAAGGGGAAUACGGUGAGGACUAAGUGUCCUGGACUGCGUGUUCAAGACUGGGUGUCCGGGACUGUGUGUCCUCAGGUUUAAAUACCUAGCCGCCCUAACCAGAUGUACAACUGAGACAGCAGUUGGAACUGGUCUACCAAAUCAUUGUCUUCACCAAGCCUACUGGUUCUAUUUCCUCAACUCUUUCAUUUCCUCAUUACUGUGUUGUGUGCUUGUCAUAUCUGUGUUUGAAGACUUUGACUGAAGACUUUCUCAAUUUCCUCAGUUUAAUUUCUUCAGUCUAUUUGUCUUCAUCCUGUGCUAUCCUGUGUUUACGCUUCUGUACUCUGUGCUUGUCUUCAUUUCAUCAUGAUGACCAUGCUUGUGUUCUGCUAUGCAUACUUUUGAGUACUUAUUCCGCUGCAAAUAGUUCUUCACUAAGGAAUUUCCUCACUGGCAAAUUCCUUAGUGAAGAAUUCAUAAAAAUCGCCUAUUCACCCCCCCUCUAGUCGAUAUAACGCACUUUCAAUGUGCUUGCCAAAGGAUAAAAUAUAAAAAGGAAAGGUGAAGAUCACCCUGACUCUUGCAUAAGGUAUAAGACAAGAAUAAAAGAUAGGCCCUUCGCAGAGGGAAGCAGAGGUUGUCAUGUGCUUUUAUGGUUGGAUGCACAAAAUCUUAAUGCGAAAGAACGUCACUUUAUAUUGUCACUUGUGAUAUGGACCUUUAUUAUGCAGUCUGUCGCUUUUAUUUCUUCCACAUCACAAGAUCGUAUAAAGCUUAUUUUCUCCACGCUAAUAAGUCAUACAUAUUUAGAGAGCAAUUUUUAUUGCAAGCAACAUGACAACUUACUUGAAGGAUCUUACUCAAUCCAUAGGUGGAUAUGGUGGACACUCAUGGCAAAACUGGGUUUAAGGGUAUUUGGAAGCACAAGUAGUAUCUCUACUUGGUGCAAAGAAUUGGCUAGCAUGAGGGAGAAAGGCAAGCUCAACAUGUUGGAUGAUCCAUGCCAAUAUACUUUAUUUCAGAUAUAAGAAAACAUAACCCAUUACAUUGUCUUCCUUGUCCAACAUCAACUCUUUAGCAUGUCAUAUUUUAAUGAGUGCUUACAAUCAUAAAAGAUGUCCAAAAUAGUAUAUUUAUAUGUGAAAACCUCUCUUUCUUUAUUACUUCUUAUUAAUUGCAACGAUGACCAAAACUAUGUUUGUCAACUCUCAACAACUUUUAUUCAUCAUACUCUUUAUAUGUGAAGUCAUUACUAUCCAUAAGAUCAAUAUGAUCUCUUUAUUUAUUUUUAUUCUUUCUUUUUCUUUUAUUCACUCAAGAUCAUAGCAAGAUAAUCAAGCCCUUGACUCAACACUAAUCUUUAUUAUAUAUAGCUCACGGACUCGAUUACAUAGAAGGAUCAUAAAGCAAAACUCAAAACUAAAUCAUACUAAAAUUUUAUUCCACUAGAUCAAGAUAUUACCAAAAGGAUCGAACUAAGAAAAACGAUAAAGAUAGGAGUGUGAUGGUGAUACAAUACCUGGGCACCUCCCCCAAGCUUGGCAGUUGCCAAGGGGGUGCCCAUACCCAUGUGAUUAUAUCUCUUUCCUCGGGGGUGGUGUUGACGGAGUUGUUAAUGAUGUAGGCUUGUCAUCCCUCUUCCAAGGCAAAGGCUCGCCAUCAUAAAAGGAUGAUCGAGUCUCCGGAAUCCUUAAAUCUGCAGCCAAACUCAUCCUCUUGAAUGUAUAUUCAUACUCACAGUUUUGGUUUUGCAGGUCAUAGAUUUGGGCUUGGAGGUGUUCGAUUUUCUCAUGAAGCUUGAAGAUGGCCUCCCCAAUGUCCUUGGCGUCCAGUUUGUGGUUGUUGGUGAACUCCGUGAUCAUUAUGUGAUUGGAGUCGAGUCCACAUUCCACCAUCUCCUGACACUUGAAAAUUUGUUGCUCCAUUGCCUCGAGCCUUGUCUCCACGCUUCUGGUCCUCCUUGGUCCCUCAACAUCGCGGAUGUGCAACAACCCCUCACGCAUCUCAAUAGCUUGAGGAUGUUGCAGCACUUCCGCGAGGUAGGGGUUGAUGACCUUCUCGAAGGACUUGUCCUUAGGGGGCACUUGAGACGUCCUGGUGAUCUAGAUCUGUCAGAAAAACAACUCGAAACAAAAAUGGAGGAUAUUCGCUUGGUACGGUGGUCAAAACCUUCGGGAGAUUAUAUAAUGAAUUUUUACCGACCAAAAGAAGUAUCGUGCAAGAAAACGGAGUUCGGAGAGCACACGAGGUGCCCACGAGGCAGGGGGUGUGCCCAGGGGGGUAGGGCGCGCCCUCCACCCUCGUGGACGCCUCGUGUCCUUCCCGGACUACUUCUUAUUUUCCUAUUUUCUUAAAUAUUCCAAAACGGGGAAAAUUGCCAUUAGAACUGUUUUGGAGUCGGUUUACUUACCGUACCACGUACCUAUUCCUUUUCGGAGUCUGAAGCGUUCUGGAAAGUGUCCCUUAUGUAUUCCUCCGGGGUUACGGUUUCAAUAACAUUAGUUUCAACAUUUAUAGGAUUACCUGAGAUAUAAUGUUUGAUUCUUUGACCGUUCACCACCUUCGGAUUUGUGCCUUCGAAGUUGUUGAUUUUUAUGGCACCGGAACGAUAGACCUCCUCGAUGACGUAAGGACCUUCCCAUUUAGAGAGAAGUUUUCCUUCAAAAAAUCUUAAACGAGAGUUGAAUAGCAACACAUAAUCACCUACAUUAAACUCACACUUUUGUAUCCUCUUGUCAUGCCAUCUUUUAACUUUUUCUUUAAACAGUUUGGCAUUCUCAUAGGCCUGGGUUCUCCAUUCAUCAAGUGAGCUAAUGUCAAAAAGCCUCUUCUCACUGGCAAGUUUGAAAUCAUAAUUGAGCUCUUUAAUAGCCCAAUAUGCCUUAUGUUCUAGUUCGAGAGGUAAGUGACAUGCUUUUCCAUAAACCAUUUUAUACGGAGACAUACCCAUAGGAUUUUUAUAUGCAGUUCUAUAGGCCCAUAAUGCAUCAUCAAGUUUCUUGGACCAAUUCUUUCUAGAUCUAUUAACAGUCUUUUGCAAAAUUAGUUUGAGCUCUCUAUUACUCAAUUCUACUUGACCACUAGACUACGGAUGGUAUGGAGAUGCAAUUCUAUGAUUAACAUCAUACUUAGCAAGCAUUUUGCGAAAAGCACCAUGAAUAAAAUGUGAACCACCAUCAGUCAUUAAAUAUCUAGGGACUCCAAACCUCGGAAAAAUUAACUUCUUUAAGCAUCUUAAUAGAGGUGUUAUGAUCAGCACUACUAGUUGGAAUAGCUUCUACCCACUUAGUAAUGUAAUCAACAGCAACUAAAAUAUGUGUAUACCCAUUAGAGGAAGGAAACGGUCCCAUAUAAUCAAAGCCCCAAACAUCAAAUGGUUCAAUAACAAGUGAAUAAUUCAUAGGCAUCUCUUGACGUCUACUACUAUUACCAAUUCUUUGACAUUCAUCACAAGAAAAGACAAACUUUCGGGCAUCUUUGAAGAGAGUAGGCCAAUAAAAACCAGAUUGCAAUACCUUAUGUGCAGUUCUAUCUCCAGCGUGGUGUCCUCCAUAAGCUUCGGAGUGACACUUGCGUAGGAUCUAUUCCUGUUCAUGCUCAGGUAUACAACGUCUAAUAACACCAUCUACUCCUUCUUUAUAAAGGUGUGGGUCAUCCCAGAAGUAAUGUCUUAAAUCAUAGAAAAACUUUUUCUUUUGCUGGUAUGUGAAACUAGGUGGUAUAAAUUUAGCAACAAUGUAAUUAGCAUAAUCAGCAUACCAUGGAGCAGCGCGAGAAGCAUUUAUGACAGCUAAUUGUUCAUCAGGAAAGCUAUCAGACUAGCCACAAUGGGUAGUAACAUAGAGUAGUAACAUGUCAAUGUUACUAGUACCUCUAUAGUGGGGAGUAACAUAUGUGUGGUAACAUGCAACACUUCAUUUAUUAGGCUAUAGACUCAUCCUGCCUUGAUAUGUGUGAUGUUACUCAUACUACUAGUAACUAGCUAUGUUACUACAUGCCUCUCUUUCUUCAUUUAUUGUUUGCCACAUCAUCUAUUUUAUCUAGAUAUAUGUGAUGUUACUACCUAUGUUACUCCCACUGUGGGUACUCUCAUCAAUAGGUAGUGGGUCAUCAAGAACAUUUUCUAACCUAGACAAGUUGUCUACAACGGGGUUCUCAGCUCCCUUUCUAUCAAUAAUAUGCAAAUCAAAUUCUUGUAGCAGGAGAACCCAUCUAAUAAGUCUAGGUUUAGCAUCUUUCUUUUCCAUAAGAUAUUUAAUAGCAACAUGAUCAGUGUGAACAGUUACUUUAGAAUCAACAAUAUAAGGUCUGAACUUAUCACAAGCAAAUACAACCGCUAAAAAUUAUUUUUCAGUAGUAGCAUAAUUUCUCUGGGCAUUGUCUAGAGUUUUACUAGCAUAUUGGAUAACAUUUAGUUUCUUAUCAACUCUUUGUCCUAGAACAGCACCUACAGCAUAAUCACUAGCAUCACACAUAAUUUCAAACGGUAAAUUCCAAUCAUGUGGCUGGACAAUAGGUGCAGAAAUCAAUGCUUUCUUAAGUAUUUCAAAUGUUUCUACACAAUAAUCAUCAAAGACAAAAGGAGUAUCUUUUUGUAAGAGAUUAGUCAGAGGCCUGGAGAUUUUAGAGAAAUCCUUAAUGAACCUCCUAUAAAAACCGGCAUGACCAAGGAAGCUUCUUAUACCUUUAAUGUCCUUGGGACACGACAUCUUUUCAAUAGCAUCAACUUUAGCUUUAUCAACUUCAAUACCUCUUUCAGAAAUUUUAUGCCCCAAGACAAUACCUUCAUUAACCAUAAAGUGGCACUUCUCCCAAUUCAAGACAAGGUUAGUUUAUUCACAUCUCUGCAAAACUCGAUCAAGGUUGCUCAAGCAAUCAUCAAAAGAAGUUCCAUAUACGGAGAAAUCAUCCAUGAAAACCUCAACAAUCUUUUCACAAAAAUCAGAGAAUAUAGCCAUCAUGCAUCUUUGAAAGGUAGCAAGUGCAUUACAUAAACCAAAAGGCAUACGUCUAUAAGAAAAGGUACCGAAAGGGCAAGUAAAAGUGGUCUUUUCUUGAUCCUCUUUUGACACAGGUAUCUGAGAGAAACCAGAAUAACCAUCUAGGAAACAAAAAUGCGUAUGUUUGGAUAAUGUUUCUAGCAUUUGAUCAAUAAAAGGUAAGGGGUAAUGAUCCUUUUUAGUAGCUUUAUUUAAUUUGCGGAAAUCAAUUACCAUCCUAUAACACGUAACAAUUCUUUGUGGGAUCAAUUCAUCUUUAUCAUUAGGAACAACGGUAAUACCUCCCUUCUUAGGGACACAAUGGACAUGACUUACCCACUGACUAUCAACAACGGGAUAAAUUAUACCUGCCUCAAGAAGCUUUAGUAUUUCUUUUCUUACCACUUCCUUCAUCUUAGGAUUUAACCGUCGUUGGUGAUCAACAACUGGUUUAGCGUCUUUCUCCAAUUUUAUUUUGUGCUGGCAUAAAGUGGGACUAAUGCCCUUAAGAUCAUCAAGAGUAUAUCCAAUAGCAGUACGGUGCUUCUUCAGAGUUUUCAAUAAUUGUUCUUCUUCUUUCUCUGAAAGGUUAGCACUAAUAAUAACAGGAUAUAUUUUCUUUUCAUCAAGAUAAGCAUAUUUGAGAGUAUCAGGUAAUGGUUUAAGCUCAAACACGGGAUCACCCUUAGGUGGAGGAGGAUCCCCUAGGAUUUCGAUAGGCAAGUUGUGUUUAAAAAUGGGUCCAUUUUUAAAGAAUACUUCAUCUAUUUCCCUUCUUUCAUUCAUAAACAUAUCAUUUUCAUGGUCUAGCAAAUAUUGUUCUAAAGGAUCACUAGGAGGCACGGCAAAUAGAAGCAAGACCAAUAAUUUCAUCUUUACUAGGCAAUUCCUCAUUACAGGGUUGUCUACAAAAUUUAGCAAAAUUAAACUCAUGAGACAUAUCACCCAACCCAAUAGUAACAACAUCCUUUUCGCAGUCUAUCCUAGCAUUAACAGUAUUCAAGAAGGGUCUACCAAAUAUAAUGGGACAAAAGUCAUCUUGUGGGGAACCAAGAACAAGAAAAUCAGCAGGAUAUUUAACUUUCCCACACAAGAUUUCAACAUCUCUAACAAUCCCAACUGGUGAAAUAGUAUCUCUAUUGGCAAGCUUAAUUGUAACAUCAAUUUCUUCUAUCUCAGCAGGUGCAAUAUCAUGCAUAAUUUCUUCAUAUAAAGAAUGAGGUAUUGCACUGGCACUAGCACCCAUAUCACAUAAGCCAUGAUAACAAUGAUCUCCUAUUUUAACAGAAAUAACAGGCAUGCCUACAACAGGUCUAUGUUUAUCCUUAGUAUCAGGUUUAGCAAUUCUAGCAGCUUCAUCACAGAAGUAAAUAACAUGCCCAUCAAUAUUAUCAGCCAAGAGAUCUUUAACCAUAGCAAUAUUAGGUUCAACUUUAAUUUGUUCAGGGGGUUUGGGUGUCCUAAUAUUACUUUUGUUGACCACAGUUGAAGCUUUAGCAUGAUCCUUUAUUCUAACAGGGAAAGGUGGUUUCUCAAUAUAAGCAGUAGGAACAACAUGGAUCAUUAUAAGUGAUAGUAUUUUCUUCAACUUUAAUAGGUGCAACUACUUUUACUUCAAUGGGAGGAUUAUAUUUAAACCACUUCUCCUUAGGGAGAUCAACAUGAGUAGCAAAUGAUUCACAGAAAGAAGCUACUAUCUUAGAGUCAAGUCCAUAUUUAGUGCUAAAGUCACGGAAAAUGUCGGUAUCCAUAAAAGAUUUAACACAAUCAAACUUAGAUGUUAUACCUGACUCCUUACCUUCGUCGAGGUCCCAAUAUUCGGAGUUGCGUUUAAUUCUUUCCAAUAAAUCCCAUUUGAAUUCAAUAGUCUUCAUCAUAAAAGAACCAGUACAAGAAGUAUCGAGCAUGGAGCGAUUAUUGAGAGAAAGCCGGGCAUAAAAAUUUUGAAUAAUCAUUUCUCUUGAGAGCUCAUGAUUGGGGCAUGAAUAUAACAUUGACUUAAACCUCCCCCAAGCUUGAGCGAUGCUUUCUCCUUCGCGAGGCCAAAAAUUAUAUAUAUAAUUACGAUCACGAUGAACAAGAUGCAUAGGAUAAAACUUCUGUGAAAUUCCAAUUUCAAUCGCUUGUAGUUCCAUGAUCCCAUAUCAUCACAUAGCCUAUACCAUGUCAAUGCCUCUCCCUUCAAAGAUAAAGGGAAGACCUUCUUCUUGAUAACAUCAUCGGGCAUACCUGCAAGCUUAAAUAAUCCACAAACUUCAUCCACAUAGAUUAAGUGUAAAUCGAGAUGCAAUGUUCCAUCACCUGUGAAAGGAUUAGCUAGCAGUUUCUCUAUCAUACUAGAAGGAAUUUCAAACUAAACAUUUUCAGUAGAUUCAGUAGGUUGAGGAGCAACUCUUUGCUCCACUGGUCGGGGUGAAGAUACCCCGAACAAGCCCCUCAAAGGAUUAUGUUCCAUAGUAACAAGUGACAGUAAAUUUCAGCACACUAUAUAAAUUUUACCUUACCAAAUUCCACCUACCAAAGGCGCUUCACUCCCCAGCAACGGCACCAGAAAAGAGUCUUGAUGACCCACAAGUGUAGGGGAUCUAUCAUACUCCCUUCGAUAAGUAAGAGUGUCGAACCCAACGAGGAGGAGAAGGAAAUGAUAAGCAGUUUUCAGUAAGGUAUUCUCUGCAAGCACUAAAAUUAUCGGUAACAGAUAGUUUUGUGAUAAGGUAAUUUGCAACGGGUAACAAGUAAUGAAAGUAAAUAAGGUGCAGCAAGAUGGCCCAAUCCUUUUUGUAGCAAAGGACAAGCCUGGACAAACUCUUAUAUAGAGAAAAGCGCUCCCGAGGACACAUGGGAAUUAUCGUCAAGCUAGUUUUCAUCACGCUCAUACGAUUCGCGUUCGUUACUUUGAUAAUUUGGUAUGUGGGUGGACCGGUGCUUGGGUGCUGUCCUUCCUUGGAAAAGCAUCCCACUUAUGAUUAACUCCUAUUGCAAGCAUCCGCAACUACAAAAGAAGUAUUAAGGUAAACCAAACCAUAGCAUGAAACAUAUGGAUCCAAAUCAGCCCCUUACGAAGCAACGCAUAAACUAGGGUUUAAGCUUCUGUCACUCUAGCAACCCAUCAUCUACUUAUUACUUCCCAAUGCCUUCCUCUAGGCCCAAACAAUGGUGAAGUGUCAUGUAGUCGACGUUCACAUAACACCACUAGAGGAAAGACAACAUACAUCUCAUCAAAAUAUCGAACGAAUACCAAAUUCACAUGACUACUUAUAGCAAGACUUCUCCCAUGUCCUCAGGAACAAAUGUAACUACUCAUAAAGCAUAUUCAUGUUCAUAAUCAGAGGGGUAUUAAUAUGCAUAAAGGAUCUGAACAUAUGAUCUUCCACCAAAUAAACCAACUAGCAUCAACUACAAGGGGUAAUCAACACUACUAGCAACCCACAGGUACCAAUCUGAGGCUUUGGGACAAAGAUUGGAUACAAGAGAUGAACUACGGUUUUAGAGGAGAUGGUGCUGGUGAAGAUGUUGAUGGAGAUUGACCCCCUCCCGAUGAGAGGAUCGUUGGUGAUGACGAUGGCGAUGAUUUCCCCCUCCCGGAGGGAAGUUUCCCCGACAGAACAGCUCUGCCGGAGCCCUAGAUUGGUUCCGCCAAGGUUCCGCCUCGUGGCGGCGGAGUUUCUUCCCGAAAGCUUACUUAUGAUUUUUUUCCAGGGUAAAAGACUUCAUAUAGCAGAAGAUGGACAGCGGAGGCCUGCCAGGGGGCCCACGAGGCAGGGGGCGCGCCUCCCACCCUCGUGGCCAGGGUGUGGGCCCCCCUCUGGUACUUUCUUCACUCAGUAUUUUUUUAUUAAUUCCAAAAACUGCUUUCGUGAAGUUUCAGGACUUUUAGAGUUGUGCAGAAUAGGUCUCUAAUAUUUGCUCCUUUUCCAGCCCAGAAUUCCAGCUGCCGGCAUUCCCCCUCUUCACGUAAACCUUGUAAAAUAAGAGAGAAAAGGCAUAAGUAUUGUGAUAUAACUUGUAAUAACAGCCCAUAAAGCAAUAAAUAUUGAUAUAAAAGCAUGAUGCAAAAUGGACGUAUCAUCGGUAUGUUACUUGCCCGAGAUUCGAUCGUCGGUAUCUUCAUACAUAGUUCAAUCUCGUUACCGACCAGUCUCUUUACUCGUUCCGUAAUACAUCAUCCCAUAACUAACUCAUUAGUCACAUUGCUUGCAAGGCUUAUUAUGAUGUGUAUUACCGAGAGGGCCUAGAGAUACCUCUCUGAUACUAGAGUGACAAAUCCUAAUCUCGAUCUAUGCCAACCCAACAAACACCUUCGGAGAUACCUGUAGAGCAUCUUUAUGAUCACCCAGUUACGUUGUGACCUUUGAUAGCACACAAGGUAUUCCCCCGGUAUCCAGGAGUUGCAUAAUCUCAUAGUCAAAGGAAUAUGUAUAUGACAUGAAGAAAACUAUAGCAAUAAAACUGAACGAUCAACAUGCUAAGCUAAGGGAUGGGUCAUGUCCAUCACAUCAUUCUCCUAAUGGUGAUCUCGUUCAUCAAAUGACAACACAUGUCUAUGGUUAGGAAACUUAACCAUCUUUGAUUAACGAGCUAGUCUACUAGAGGCUUACUAGGGACACGGUGUUUUGUCUAUGUAUUCACACAUGUAUCAAGUUUCCGGUUAAUACAAUUGUAGCAUGAAUAAUAAACAUUUUCAUGAUAUAAGGCAAUAUAAAUAACAACUUUAUUAUUGCUUCUAGGGCAUAUUUCCUUCAGCACGCUCCAAACCAAUGCCCACAACCUUCAAAUAUGGAGGCUCGCGACCUAGAUAUGAUGCGCAUUUCAUAAAAUGUGCGAAUUGAAAGGCAUAUGGUGACUCUGUUAGAGUGCUGAUUUGGGACAAAAUCACUAUAUCGAUGGUUAUUAUGUCGAUCGGUCCGAUAUGACGACUCUACUAGAUUUUCCCUCACCAGGCAUGCCACAAGCACAUGAUCUGGCUCUUUUAGUUUCAACUUAUAGAGUGGAUUGGAGUAAUGCUAAAUUUACAGGGUGAGGUGACUGUCUCACGGUGACAAGGACAUUUAAGUUUGUAGACUCGGUCUGUUACCAAUCCUCGUGUAGGUUUAGCAUUUUUCAAGUGGAUUGGUGGUCUAGGCAUCGAGACUGUGGGAGAAUUUGUGUUAGAUUUACGUGAUUAGACCGUUGUGGAAAACUAAAUGGAGAGAUAAUGUUUGUUAACUAGGAAUCAGUGACAAUAUUCAUCGAGAUCAUCAAACACAUCUCAACCAUCGUUCACUAUUGUUUCAAAAAGUUGGCCCAAAUUUUGUAUCUUUUUUCCACACAUUCUAUGGGCCAAAGCGUAAAAGCAUAAUUGGGUGGCCUCUUGGCUUGCCUUGCCUGGUAGGCUGGCCAUGCCUUCUUAAUUUGAAUUUGCACAUCAUUGUCGGGGGAAAAACGAUUUGAAAGAAGUAUACCUUUCACUCAGUGGAGCCAUACCCCGGUCAUCUGGAUUUUGGUAUGCUCUUAACCCGAAAACAUAUCAAAUUUAGGUUAAUCAAGCCCUGAGUGGUUUAAUGUCACAUCAAAAGAGUUUUUCUGAUUAGGUGUCGAUUUGUCGGUUAUGUGGUGUUGAUAUGGUGGUAGAUCGAUGAAAUAACUAGUUGUACAUCAUUGCCUUCAUUUUCCUUCGAUUCAAUCAUAGUCGGACUUGCACGGGGGAGAGGAAUUGUUGUCUUAGCCAUCCACAGCUAGGGCUUCGCCGUUGUCAAACAACGUCUCAAUCAUCGGCCACCAUCUUCUUGGUAGUCCGUCAUCUUCACAUGGAGAGAGAGGCCGUCGUCUCAUCGUCUACAGCUAGCGCUUUGCCGCCGGCGGCCACCAUAUCAAUGUUAGGUCGUGACUCUAAUUUAGCCGAAAUGAAGCCAUGAGUCCAAGUUAGUACGUGAGAAAAAAAAUUGUUUGGGGGUCACAUAAUAUUUUGGUCUAGGAAAACAGGGGUUACUUUUGACCGCCCUCAUUCUGUCGGUAUAGGCAUAGGCAAAAAUGGAUUAAUUUGCAUAUUUCCGCCCUCCUUUAUAACAGGCUUGCCAUGCCAGCACCUAGUUAGUAUAAAAAAGAAAACUACAUGCGAGAACCAUUUUUGAUGUGGCAUUAAACCACCCCGGGUUUGUUUAGGCUGGCUUUGACAUGUUUGGGAUUGAAAUCAUACCAAAUUUCAGUUGACAGGGAUAUGACUUCAUUGCAGAGGAUUGAGGUAAAAAGUAUACUUCUUUCAAACGAAUUUGUAUGUGACACACGACCCAACUCAAAUGAAGGCGUACUAGCUAAACUGUAUGAUUUCUUAGCCAUUUCCACUAACUGGGGUUCCAUUUCCGCACACUUGGCAGCCCAACUAGCAGCAACAUUUUAAGAAUUAGAAGGAAAAUUGAUAACCGAAUAACCNNNNNNNNNNNNNNNNNNNNNNNNNNNNNNNNNNNNNNNNNNNNNNNNNNNNNNNNNNNNNNNNNNNNNNNNNNNNNNNNNNNNNNNNNNNNNNNNNNNNNNNNNNNNNNNNNNNNNNNNNNNNNNNNNNNNNNNNNNNNNNNNNNNNNNNNNNNNNNNNNNNNNNNNNNNNNNNNNNNNNNNNNNNNNNNNNNNNNNNNNNNNNNNNNNNNNNNNNNNNNNNNNNNNNNNNNNNNNNNNNNNNNNNNNNNNNNAUUUUUAAAAUCCUUGAUUUCAAGAUUAUUCAUGAUGUCUUCCCCCUUGUUUUCAUGUAUAUUUUUAUUUCACGACAUCUUUCUCUAUUUUCUUCAAAUUUACCGAUUUCCAGAAAACAUCCUCUUUGUUUUCAUGCAUGUAUAUGUUUUUGUGCAUUUUGGGGCUGACUUGGCUAUUCGUGUGAACUUACUGGUGUCAUUGUGAUAAUCGUUUUAAAUUGGACAAGUGGCCCAUCUAAAGGAAUGGACCAGAGACCAUACCCAAACAAUUUUGAUACUUUAAGAGCAAUAAUACCUGCAUAUACAUGACGAACAAAUUUAUACUUUGACGAUAAUUAAGAGAUAAAUCGGAGACCUUGAAUCACCAACAACAACCGCCUCCUGCCCCCCAAGAAAAAAAGGUGCUAGGUUUCCCUCCUAAGGGCUUCCCCACGGUUGGUUCCUCUUGCCUCCGGUUGCCGUCUGGCGCCAACGAGGUGUUGGGAACCUUGAUCUAGAUUAUCUCCAUAUUUUCUGGUCACCCUAUCUUUGCUUAGGAUGAAGUCUAAGUCUCUAGGUCGUGGUGGUGAGACGAUGGCGCUGUUGGUGGUGAGGAAUAAGCCCUCCAUGUCAUGUCCCUAUUCCAGCGAUCUUGUUUGGCAUCGGUGGAGAGUAUGUGGAGCUUCAGUUCAGGGCGAGAUCAUCGGCCUUAUUUUUGUCUUCAAUUUAUCUAGGUCUCGACAAUAUCCUAUAGAUAGAAUGAUGUGAUGCCAUGUUUUUGUUCUAUGGUUGCUUCUCCGUUUAACAAAGCUCGGUCAAAGUCAAAUGGGACUCCAUCGAGGAACUUGCUAGGUUUGUCCCCCCUCGUAUGUCUCUUCAAAGCUGGAAUCAUCUUUUGGCCCUCCUCAGUGCCAGCUUCUUCGGGAUGGCAAUAUGUCCAGAUUUUGAUAGUCGGUGUCUUCUAGUCUACAUCGACAACUUCAUGGUUGUUGCUUCUUCAAGAUCCUUGAAGGAACGAGAAGGUGAAUGUGGACAACUACAAAUUUUACUUUGAUUACUAGCAAGUUUAGGCUACACGGAAUAUGAAGAUAUGUCUAAACAUUUGGUACGUCGAGAUAAACAACCUAUAUGAUACUUGCAAGGUCAAGUGACAAAAUCAUAGGUAAUAGCUUUUUUUUUGCAGGAACCACAGGUAAUUGCUAUGGUUAGUAUUAACCGAAAACUAUAAAGCUGCAACUUUAUGUUAUAAAAAUAAAAAUUAUAAAUAUAAAUAAAUAAAAUAAACUCUCUAAAAAUUGUUACGUACUCCCUCCGUUCCUAAAUAUAAGUCUUUCUAGUGAAUCCACUAGAUGGACUAUAUACGGAGCAAAUUAAAUGAAUUUACACUUAAAAUGCAUCUAUAUACAUCCGUAUGUGGUUUAUAGUGGAAUCUCUACAAAGACUUAUAUUUAGGAACGGAGGGAGUAUAAUACUUAUCCGACCGCUUGGAGCUCCAGUUUCAGAAGUGAUGAGAAAUAUAAAGGCAAGGAAAUCCCUUUCCACUGACAAGCUGGGCCCAAGAGUCAGAGCACGUGAACCGCUCCGUGCACGUGCACGCUCUCCCCUUGACCUACCGGCUUUGUGUUUUUCCCCUUCCCGAAUUUCUUCCCCCCUUCCGGUGGCGAUCUGCCUCCGACGACCGGAACCACGUCGAGCGUUUGACCCUCUCCUCCUCCUACCCCCUGCACUAGAUCGAAUCACUCUUACUGCCUGGAUCGGGCCUCCCGGAGUAGCGGAGGAGAAGGAACGGCGGGGCUUGGAGAGAGGGCUGGGCGCUUGCGGCGGCGGCGGCGGCGGCGGCAGCAGAGCCGUGCUUGCCGGCUACAGAGGCGAUUGGGGGGUGGAGGUGAGGUGGAGCAUCUGGCUCAUUCGAGGUCCGGCCGAGGGCAGCGAUUUGGGGGACAGCAGUGCACAGUCGCAGAGCUUUGGUGAACACAAGUGACUCAAAAUACCAAGUAAGAAGGUGUACUUUCUGCUCAGUUGUAGAGCUUUGCUGUCAAGAUUCAUGUUUCUGAGUAGUGACCAGCGAGCAUUUUUUUUUUACAUUCAUGUUAAUGAAGCUCCACUCUGUCAGCAUGGCUAGCUUGUUUGAUGUCCAUGUGAGAUGGGGAAAUUCUAUAAUGGAAACUUGGAUAUACAGAAGCUGCUGGCUUAGGAUCGUUACAUGUAUGAGUAUUACUUUGCUGUAGACACCUUCAUAUACCUGUCAUUUCUCCUUUAUAAAAUCCACGGGGCUUCUCCCCUGUUGGAAUUCGUAUAGGAUAAUUCCUGACAUUUGGUUCUGCAUCCGUAACUGAUGUGAACCAUGUGACUCUAGGCGUGUCCACACCAGGGUAUCUUAUGCAAACUUAAUGUGCAUGUUAUUAUCUGUGAAUUCGUAAAAAUAUAUUUCUUUGUGGUUAGUUUUGGUUAACAUUUUGCUGUUGAGACUGUUCAUCUAUAUGAGUGAAUACAGUGAAGAAAUGUUCUUUGUGGAGCCACUUAGUAGAUUUAUUAAAUUGCAUAAAGUGUGGCAGUAUAAUAACUCUGCAUUAUGUCUUUGUUUCCCUUCAAUUGCAUUUGCAGUCUCUCUGGUGGAGCAUGUACUAAACUGUUAGCGGAAGGGUUCGAGGAGUAUGUUUACCCGAGCUUGAAACCUGAUUUACUCAUAGCUCAGGAAGAACUGGUGAAGCCAUCCACGCGUGUUUGGAUAUUGAUUCCAUUAUAUUGCAGCACAGUAUGUACUUCUGUUGAGUGAUGGAUAAAAAUGACCUGGUAGAAUGAGAAGGAAUUAAAGAACUGUUUCAAUGAACAUCCUACAAGACCUUAAGCAUCUCAAGCACAUUAGCUUGCCGGCGAGGCUUAUCAUUUGCAAGUGCCUUCUCAUAGUGAUUGGCCUUAUUGUAUUGAGAGCAAUUAUCUCCCCUUUUCUUGCCAUUAGCUCGUCUGAAAAGAGUUUUUAUGAGUCACCAACCCUUGACUUGUUCCCUGGAGUUAGGAAAGGUAAGUUUGUUGAGGUCCCGCAGAUUAUAUGGGGAUUGAACAAUCAGAAGAUUGCAUUUGCCAGAGCAUGCUUGACGGCAAAAUUCCUGAACCGUUCUCUACUCAUGCCAAGUCUGAGUGCUUCGCUUUUCUACAAAGAGGUUGACUUGCUGCAGCCUAUUGCUUUCGACAAGGUAUUUGACCUUAACAAGUUCAAUGCCCGCUGUCAUGGGUUUGUAAGAGUAGCUCGGUAUUCAGAAGUUUCAAAUCGUACCGAGCCUUUCAAACUUCAAAAGGGCAGUGGUAGGAGGUGGACAGUGGAGAGAGAUUUGGAUCAACUGCAACAAUCCAGAUUGGGGGAGGCCGAUGGCUUUGAAGUGAUUCAUGUCACUGGGAAGCAUCCAUUUCUAUGGCCUGAUCAUUGGCCAGUGAAAGACUAUGCCAGGAUCUUUGAUUGCCUUGCUGUAGCUCCUGAGAUAGAUACUGAAGUUGUCAGGGUCAUAUCCAAGAUUAAAGAUGCAGGGAAAAAAGCAAGACAUGAUGCUGCCGUUUCUCAUAAUAAGAAGAGGAUAGAUGGUUUGAAAAAUCUUCCUGUGCAGUACAUUGCUGUUCACAUGAGAAUAGAGAAAGAUUGGAUGAUUCAUUGCAAGAAGUGGGAGCAGCGGUCCAAUUUAAAGGAAAUUUGCAGCAGCAAAGGAGAGAUCAUUCAUAAGGUCUCACAGAUCACUGACCUACGUCGCCCGGUUGUAGUAUAUCUUGCAGUAGCCGACAGCCUUCUAGAAGAUGAUUCAGUAACCAGUGGUUGGAGAGUUGGUAUGGUUGCUUAUGAGAAGAAGAAACUUGGAGUUACUGACAUAUACGAGAAGCAGCCUUACCUUAUAAAGUCUGCCAUCGACUUUGAGGUAUGCGCAAGAGCGGAUGUGUUUGUUGGCAAUAGUUUCUCAACAUUUUCCAACCUUGUAGUAUUGUCUAGAACAGAAAGGUUAUACAAGUUAGGGAAGGCAAGCUCAUGUGGUGAGGAUGUUGGGCUGUCGUCCUAUGCGUACAAUGUCAUCGGAGAUGAUGGCGGGCCACAGAAAUGGAUGACAGAUAUGUUGGACACAAGCCUUCAGCGCAUAAGUUACGGAACAAAUAACGUCUCCUGCCACUGACCUUCAACACAUGUAACAUCUAACCAAGACACAACCGCAGACAGGAAGAUAGUUUUGGCUGAAUCUUGUCUAGAAAUGAGCAGGUGCAGCAGCUUCACGUUACUUUCCAUGCUAGAAUCUUGACAGUUGCAGUGGCAUGUCGCACUUACAAAAUACUUUGGCCAAGAAUUCUUUGUGUAAGUGUGUACAGAAGUUGUUUCCUGAGCAGCAUUAUGCCGAACAGUUUUUUAGUUUGCAGAGCUAAAUGUUGUGUGAUGCAUUGUUUGCGUUCUGUGGUUUACUGGGAGGAACUUGCCUCACACUGUAGAGAAUCUGACGCUGGCACUGUCACAUGAAACAUUUGUAUCAAGUGUAUUCGUUCGUGUAUGCUGUUAAAACUCUUGAUUCUGUAGCACCUUGUAAUUUCCUUGAGAAUGAUUCUUCUUUGGAUGUGUUCCUUCCCAACAAAAUGCC
This 85244-nucleotide long non-coding RNA is filed under the name Triticum aestivum (bread wheat). RNAcentral's name for it is "long non-coding RNA (TAES_LNC013126)". The record is from RNAcentral. Lineage: Eukaryota; Viridiplantae; Streptophyta; Magnoliopsida; Poales; Poaceae.